UUCGCUUGGUUCAUGUUUUGUCUUCUGCUUGUUUUGGUGCUAUGUAUUUGGUUGUCUUGCAAGUACAUUCAAUGUACUGACCUAGCGUGUCAUGCCAGUUUUGUAGGUCGUUCUCUUGUUCCGUCGUGCUAGGCCGUAAUAUUGCCAGCCCUGUGAGUUGUGGAGCCCAGCUAGAGUGAUAUGCUGCCAAGACUUUCGCCGCCAUUUAAAUAGACUUCCGCUGCCAUGUAAAUAGCCUUAAGGCUAUGCCAGAAGAUUAUAUUCAUCACUGAUGUAAUCAUAUACACAUGUAUUUGAUGAAUAUUCUUGUACCUGGAAUGCUGUAUCAUGGACCUAUCGUGCGUCAGGUGUUAUCCUGGGCUGACGUGUGAAGGCCUCCUGCUCCAUGCGGAUCGGGGUGCCACAGGGCUUGGUAUCAAAGCAGCCAAGCUAGCAUAGAUUAUCCUAGCAUUAGAUCACCGCCACCAUCAGCCCAUAAUGACCCUAAGGGAUUUGACCCAUACCUGGCAUCUGGCAUGGCCACUGUUAAUCAACAGGUGGCGCAGUCGGGACCGACACGUCCUCAACCCGCUGUCCCCGCCUAGUUAUCCGUGGAACAUGCAGCAAUCCAAUCUUUUCUGGUCGGCUGCACCGCUUUCCCUUCGCCAUUAAGGGAAAGGGGCCACGCCAUGCGGGCCUAUAAAUGCCCUUUCCGCUAGCCAUAUCGCUCGCUCCUUAGUCUGCCAUGUCCCUGUAGAGAAGCUUAGCUAGUAGCACCCCAGUCAUGGCUAGCAGCUUCAAAACUCCCACGUACUACACCCGCACCUAUGCCGUCAACCACCCUGGCUUUCCACCCCUUCUUGCCGAGAUGCUUAUCAAAGCAUUUGGCGGUAAGACUAGCCCCGAUUACCUCGUGUUCCAAUCGACACCCGUCCCUCACCUUCAUCACUUUUUUGCAAGAGUGCACAUCAGCCUAGGUCCUACAGUAGAUGUCCAGCCUUUGGUUUUACAGGAUAGAGCCAUGCCUACCUCUGGUUUAGCCAUUCAAGCCGCUGCUGUGGAGGCUAUCCUACACCUCCCAACCAACUUCCCGCAUGUAGCAACAAGGCGGGAGUUCUGCUUUUUCCCCACUAUGUCAAAUGCUGUAAUGCAGCCUUCUUCCAUUAGCCAAGGAGAUGAUCCCGCAAUCGCUCACCUGGUGCAAUAUAUCACUGCCCAGGGGAUGUUGAUUUCAAUGCUUCUUGCCGAGUUUAGAGCGACGGACAAUAAUGUGGUACGAGUCGUCAAGGAAGCUUACCGUGAGGCACAUAAGUUCGCAUCUCAAGCAGUUUGACCAACGCCAUCCGAACCAGUGCUAUCCUCUCAACCUGUGUUGUGGCCCAACCAAACAUCACCACCCUUGACAAGUCUCUUCUACGGAUCCAUCAACAGCAUUUUCCUGGAGCGAUUCCAGCCCCACCUCCCCAACCCAUAGAAGUGUAAGACGAUGAAGAUGGAGAUUGGCUCAGUCUUUGUCCUCCAGGAGAGCCCCAUCAAGGCUAGUCUUCUGCCUGGCUUCAGUCACGCAGUCAGUGGUUUCCUGCUAGUCGAUCGGUCUAUCGGUUCAUCCCUGAUAUGAGGAUGGAACCAUGUAUCUCACAGCGAGUAGUUUCGACUAGCACGUAGCAUGUUUGGGCUUUCAUGUAUGCUGGUACUGUUGUAACCCGUAUGCUGUGUUAUGUGUUUGCUUGCUUUUGUUUGUGUGUUUGUUUUUGCUUGUCUCUCUGUCCAACAGAAAUGUUUGAUAGGGUUGGCAAUGUGUGCUAACAAGAUUUUAAUCAGUACGACACAUACACUAAAAACAACCUUGACUCGUCCCGAGUCUUUAAUAAAAUACGCGCUGGUGUAGGUAUAUGCAUACCAGGAGUACAUAUACCCACUAGCAUUAAAACACCUUAGUGUGAUUUCGCUGGUGUCUUUUUCUGUUGCAUGUUUAUUGCAUCUUCCUGUUUGUUUAGAUUUUUCUGCAUAUUGUACGCAUACCCGGUUCACCGACGAGUACAAUUGAGCAGUACUCGGGGGAAUUCAAAGUCACAUAUCCUCUCCAUCUGUGCAUACCCUAUGUGCCAGAUUUUCCAAACCCAGAACCUCGAAGAGGCCAUUUUCAUCUGGCCAUUUCUCGUCCCGGAUAAUUUUCGUAAACCCGAUUGUGUUUCCAGAGAAACACUGCCAGCUUUAUUUCUCGCAAUCCAUUACAACUCCCCGAUACAGAUUUCAACUCCGAUUCUACCUCGACACCUACAUUUCAUGGAGCAGUCCGUGAAAUAUUUCCCAUGCCCUAAACUGAUUCCUGAGCUGGCAUAGACACCUCACCUGCAUCUGGACCCCGUCAUCCACACCAUCACUGCCUUGCAUGACGCUGCAAGUCACCACCACCGCUCUACCGCAGAACGUGAUUACUCCGCCGGUGCAAAGCAAGAGAGGACCAAGCCUGGUGGAGGAGAACCCCAUGCACCAUCUUCUUCCACACCUCGAGCCACCAACCGCGCGUUGUCUCGAGCCUGCUCGUUCCUGAUGAGAAUCACUAGGAGGAUCGACAAGCCGAUCAGCGUGCCCAACAGUGCCGCGAGGAACAACUAUAGAGCCACCAAGAACACCUCCUCGCCGAAGGAGCUCGGCUCGAUCUCGCCCAAACCGAAGAGGUAGUAGAGUGGCAUUGUGUUUGUGUGUUGGUAGCAAGCCGCGCUGCCGUUUUUAUAGCCCAACCCCGGUGUACGGUGAGCGGAGUCCAGGAAACUCGCUCAUCGCCCGAUCACCGGCGUCCAUGAGGCGAAUCUGCGAGUAUUGCUGACAAGGUGCUGGCCCGUGAUGUGAGUGCUCGCAGCACCGGCGCCGUGCAUGCCGUGCACUAUGGCACUAGGGUCCUCAUCUCCCUAGGAGCUAGAUGCGCGCUGCGCCAAGCCACAUGCGAAGCAGCAGCACGGGAGAAGCAGCUAGCCGGAGGUACAUGAAGGAGGCUGCCAGUGGGCCCUGGACCCACGUGUCAGCAGGUGAGUCCACUGUUCACAGGGUGCAUCUAGCAAUUUUUCGACAGUUUUAUCUCGAGUGCCCCUAGCCGUGGAUAUAACUGUGUUUGCCCAUAUCUCUCCCCGGGUGUACCAAUUAUCGGUGCCCCAACUCGUUCGAGUUUGACCUAAGGGUUAAAUUUAACCCAGAGAUUUUCUCCGAAGUGGUUAUCUUUUCUUUGUGCUGUAACCCUAGGAAUCUCGAGGACGAGAUUCUUUUAAGGGGGGGAGGUUUGUAACAGCCCCAAAAUUGGGUUAUCAAUUUUUGUGAUGUUAUUCCUUCCUGGCACUCAUUUUCAAAAUCUUUCUGCUGAGUUUUGCUGAUGACCCUGAGAUUUCUUGUCAUUUCCAACCUUUCAAACCUUGCUCAUGUCUUUUUCAGUGGGCAAGACCUAAUUGCAUCAUCUUAAACCUUCUGAAACCCUAAUUCCAAAUUUUUGGAAUUUGAAUGUGCCCUUUGUGAUUACAAAGGAGCCAUCAUUUUCCUUGAUCUGUUGAUCAUCCCAUCUGUUCCUUGAGACCCUCCUAUCCAUUUCAAACCUGGAUAUGCAAAAAUAUUGCCAAGUGCUAUGCAAUAUUUUUGAAUUAUGAUUUAUUCCUUUUCCUGCCUUUCUCAGGAAUAAAAUCAAAAGGCAUAGCUAGCCAUCUCCUAAAUUCAUGUGAAUUGGUGGAGUUGAUAAUUAUGCCUAAUGCAAGCUCUGGCAAUCAUAUUGGCCAAAAUUAAAUAAGGAAAAUUGCCUUUUCCUAUUUAAUACCAAUAUUGCAUUUCUCCCAUUUUCUAAAGGAACUACUAUUUUUAUAGCAGGGAAAAUUCUCACAUAAAUUGUGGAGCUUGUCCUUGCUAUAUAAUCACUAGUUCCAUCAUUAUCUCAUGUUCAUCCGUUCAAAAAUUGGGCACAUGAUCCAAUGCAAGUUUCUGCCUUUCUGUGAAAUUUUGCAAAGGAAGUGCUUUAUUCCUAAUUCCUAUUGAGCUGCCAUUUGGCAGGGUAUUUAAUUUUAAUAAAUCACCUAUGAAUACCAAAGAUGAGCUCAAUCCAAUCAUCCUAGCUCCCUGUGCAUUUUUCUCAAAGUUUCUGACCACAUAGUCACUUUGUGAAGGAAGUACCUUCAUGGAGUUUCCAAAUGGGAUGAAACUUUGCCAUCCUCUCAAGUAUCCCAAAUAAUUAUCCUUCACCCAAAUUAAGCUCAUUUCAUUGAGCUAUGUGAGCACAUGAGAAAUUCUUGUUUUCUGUCCAAAUUUUUAGUUUGUGAAGAAAGUAUAUUUUAUAUUGCUCCAUUAUGGCUGAAAAUAAUUCCAGGCCUUCUCCUAUCCAUAUAACCCACCUACCCGAGAGUUUGGCUAAUUUCAUUUAGCCAAUAUUUUCCUAGAAUUUUCCUAAGUUUAUGGUCCAAAGUGAUGCUCGUGAAGAAAGUACCAAUUUGGUAAAUCCAUUUGGUGUGAUCUUUUUACAGCAUCUACUGAUGACCAAAUAAUUAGGAUUUGACAACUUAUAGCUAAAUCCAACGCUUCUAGUGAGUGCUUCAUCAUCAUUUGAUUUCUGGACAUAUUUUAGCAGUUGUUAAGCAACUAUGCUAAAUAUUUGUCCAAAUGCCCUCAAAACUCCCAGGACCAUAGUCCUUGUUACCCUAAGCCUACUAGACAUCAAGUUUACCAUUUACCCUCUCUGGUUUUAUCUGUAGGAUGUUGCCAAGUUUGCAACAAAAAACUUGUGGAGCUUGGUUUACUGAUCUCCCCUUUGUCUCUGUCCAAAUCUUUACCGUAGUAAUCCUUCACUCUGGAAUGACUAUGCGGUGGACAUGAUUUAACCUCAGUAAAAUCUCCAAUGUCCGACAUGCCAGUGGUGACCACGAGGGCAGCCAGCCAAAACGGUGGUGUCGGCAUCGUUGCUCCAGCUGGAUUUGGCUCGUCCCUGCAUGUCCAAUAGCUCCGCAUCGUCAUCGCCGUUCGCCUGGACCCCUCUCCCCUUCGGUUUCUUCUCUGACGAGCCGUGCCAAGGGUCGAGCAGUGCGCGCCCGUGAGCUCGUCUUCUUCCUCACCCCUAUCCUCUUCCUCCAUUCGUCUCCAAGUGCCCCUCGUCUCCGUGAGCCUCUGCUGCUCGUCGUGACCCUCCUCGUCGGCUUCCCGCCGCUUCCCGUGAGCUUUGGCCGCAACUGCCGACGCUGCGCCGUCGUCGACGCACGGACACGUCGCCCCCCGCAUGCCACCUCGCCCACUCACCCUCGAGCACUCCCCGCGGCUAUAAGUAGCCCUCCCGAGCCCCCCUCGUAGCCCCCAUCCAAGCGCAGCCCUCUCCCCCUCGCCUCGGAGCCUCUCCAUCUCUUCCCCAUCGCCAUGGCCGCCGCCUCUGCCUGCUCAAAUUCGAGCAAUGGCGGGCGUGCCUCUCCCUCUCUCCACCUCCAGCAACCUCCCCGGAGCCCAUAUUCUCUUCCCAUCCUCUCCUCUGGCCGCUGGAGCGCCCGUGUGGCCUCGUCCCACAGAGCGGUCGCCGCCCGCCCUCUCCUUUGCCGCCUCGAGCUGCGGUAGACCUGCGCCUCCCUGGCGACUGCCCCUCGUCUGAACGGGUGCGGCACUCUGCCCUGGACUCGUCCGUGGCCUCGCCUCGGCCGAGGGUGGCUAGAGCAGCCUGGGCCGCUGCCGGCGACGCCCUAUUCUGCCCGCAUCCUCUGUUCUGUCGGGAGAACAAGGAGAAGAAGACAACCGAGACGGCCCCUUCCCUCGACCCCACCUGGCAGUGACCUAGGGGCAUUGACCUGGUCCUGCCAGCGUGGAUAAGUGGCUGGGCCCACCCUUCGCGUGACCCCACCUUCCAUUGACUAUAGCCGCCCAGUCAGUCCCAGCCGGCUGAAGUGCUUAUUUUGUGUACGUUUGCUGUUUAGUGCAUUUUCUGCCUAAAAAGUAAACGACCACAACUUUGCGCUUGUAACUCCAAUUGAGGUAAAUCCAACACCCACGUCUUCGUCUCAUCAAGCCCGUUCUGUUCCCAUCAUUUUUACUAUGGUUGACAUAUUGAAAAUGACCCUUUUGCCCUUGUUCCUAAAUAGCCCCCUCCGAGAGAGAACUGUUUCCGGCAAAUUUUUCCGCGGUUGUUUCUCACUUCUUCCCGGAGUAUUUGUCGACCCCCAGGCAAGCAAACCUCCUAUCAUGAGCCCUGAACUUGCAUGUUGACUUUGCUUGCACCCUAUGUGUGUGUGUGUGUGUCGGGGUUUGGGUGCGACAUAUGCCAAUGGAUGGCUUAUCUUGGUGGGAGCGAGUAGAACGUCGCGAGUGCCUGGAAGCGGGAUAAGGCGUAGACACGAACGCCGACGUACUUUACCCAGGUUUGGGGCUCUCCUAGGAGAUAACACCCCUAGUCCUGCUCUGCGGGGUCUCCGCAUGAUCACUAUGGCACAAGUGAUACAAUGGUGCUCCUUGAGUUGUGUGCUAGAGGCAGAAGGAGGCAAGGCUAGCUCUCUUCCUGCUCUAGGGGGGAGGCUAGUUCUAAUGGAGUCGGAACCCUUUGCAUGGGAGGCCUGGGGGGUUUAUAUAGGCCUACCCCCCAGGGGUACAAUGGUAAUCUGGCCGGCUGCUGGGCCCGACUGUUAGUGUCUCCAGCCUCCGGCUUCUCCGCCGACCGCUAGGGCCCGCCGCCUAGUGGGCCCCGCCGACUGGUUGGUGGCUGCUUCCUGUAGCCGUGUCGUUGGUGACGAGGGCUUGGUCAUCUUAGCAUGGCUACAGUCCCGCCGCCUUGUGGGAGGCCACUGUAGCCACACCUGGUCUUAUCAGCUUAAUGGCAUGCUCGCCUCGGGACAAGGGAUGGCCGCCUGCUGGAGGCCGGCCCCUCUCAAACCCGCCUAGUCGAGCUUCCGCCGUCUUCCUUGGGGUCACCGCCCGAUAGGGCCCGCCUCUGGCAGGCCAUACAGACAGGCCGUCGUAGGGAACAGGGCACCGCCUGCCUGUAGCAACGUCAGGGUAGAUACGACAUAGUGCUCCAUCGUGUGGGGAUCUCUGUCUGUACGGAGCACUGUAGCUACACCCAUCUCGAGCGUGGGAGGCGUCGUGCUUCACUGUAGCCAUGCUUUGACUUGUACUCUCGAUGGGGGCUCGGCCGCACCGUAGUCAUGAGGUGGCCGCCUGCCCGUUGCCGCCCUCUACGGAGGGCGGCCGCUGGGAGCCGGCCACUCGGAGCACCGUAGUCUUGGCUCGGCCGCCCUCUGGCAACCGGCUGCUGAGCCAGCCGGCCCCAGAGGGCGCAGCUUCAGUUGGGGUCCAGCUAGGCGGAGCUAGCCCAAAGACUUGAUAAAUCCAGGGACCCGGGUGAGCCUACCCGUGGCCCAUUACUCCGAUGAUAGUCCCCGAAGCCGGUUAGGCACCGCGGUCGAGGGGCUCCGAAGCCUCAACGUUUUCCUCCCUCACCGGGCUCUGGGAAGGCGCCGGUCCGCCAUGCAGCCGGCCGACUGCUGAGGCCAACUUCUUCCAGAUGAAGCUUGCACAGUUGGUUUUUUGGACUUCAAGGAGGGAAAUAGGUGGCGUGCCUACUAAGCUUCCCAUGCCGCCGCCCGCCAUGGAUGCGCCAUGUGGUGCACGUCAGCCUGGUCGGCCUGCCACCCCACGUUUUGGACAGGAUGUGACACAGGGCCGGGCCCGCCACUACCGUGCCUCGGCGACCGGGCGGAUCCAUUGCGCCAAGGGGACGGUUUCCAUCCCCCAGAAUCAUUAAUGGUGUGGUAAGUGCGCGCGGAAAGUGGGGGCCGUGGGGACGUGGGCGCAGUUAAUCCCACGACCUCACGCCUCGCCCCCUCAGCUUCAUAGCCCGGGCGCUAUAAGUAGGGAUGGGGGAGAGGUUCGGCAAAGCUGCUGCGCCCCCUCCCACUCUUCCUCUUCUUCCUCUCAUCCCCCACUGCUGCUGCUACCGUAGUGCCGCCGCCGUUGUCCACCGCCGACGCGUUUCUCCUCUCCUAGCCGCCAGCCGGAGCCAUGGGUGACUAGGAUGGAUCGACCGUGAUCUAGGAUCACAUCUCCUUCCUCCGUGACACGCGCCGGAUGCCCAGCGUGGCCUUCUUCAAGGCGCAGGUGCCGCCGGAGACUGAGAUCUCACUGGUGCCAUAGGAAGGCGAGCGGGUCGUCUUCCGCUCGCAUUUCAUGUGCGGCUUCGUCCUCCCGGCAAGUGACUUCUUCCGCGCCUUCCUCGACUUCUACCAUCUUCAACCUCACCACCUCACGCCCAAUGACGUGACCCUGCUCUCUGCCUUCAUCACGGCGUGCGAGGGCUACCUCGGCAUCGUCCCCACAAUCAAGCUGUGGGGAGCAUUCUUUUAUGGAAAGCUCGGCACCUCCACCAAGGAGAUGGCGGCCGAGUGCGGGGGCUUCGUCGCCGUGCGCCGGCCGGCGAAGCAGAACGCCUUCCCCGUCAUCAAGCUGGCGCAGUCGAUGAAGAUGUGGUAGCAGUCCUACUUCUACAUUACGAACGUGGACCCGGCUGCCGACUUCCUCAACCUGUCGGCCUACGAGGCCGGCCCCCCCACCGGAGCUCGCAUCUCCUCGAAGUACAAGCCGAAGCCAGUGUUGGCGGACGUGGCGGCCGCCAUUGGCCGACUUCGAGUGCUCCAGGAAACGGAGGGCCUCGUGGCUUCCGACCUCCUCUUCGCCUUCGUCGAGCGUCGGGUCCUCCCGCUCUAGAGCCUCCCUCAUCCGAUCUUCCGGAUGGGCGGACACCGCGAUCCGUGCCGGUUGUGCACGAAAGGGAUGCCGCCCACUGAUGUUUCACGGAUGGUAAACAAGAUCUCCGACCUCAGAAUGUCGGAGAAGGAGUGGCGGUACGGGAAGCGUCCAUACUCUCGCCACAACCCACCUCCCGCUGUAAGUUUCUUCUUUUUGUCCUUUGAAUUGUUUCCUUCAGCUUUGUUUCUCCUCAUGACGCCACCCUUUCUUGGUUGCAGAUUUACAUGUCCGAGGCAACGGCCGCCCUCCUGGGGCCGGGUGAUGCCGUCUAGGCGGACAGGGCGGAGAGAGAUUUGGACGACCCCGACUUGGGGGCGGCCGCCCUGGCUGACGAUGCGAUAGGAGACGGUGGCAGAGCGGAUGGCGGUAGUGGAGCCGGUGGCUUCGAAGGAGGCGGCGGUGUGGAGGCUUGGCCCGACGACGAUGAAGAUGACGACAAACCGCGCCCCGCUCGGAGCUCUGCCAGCACCGGCGCCGGCCCCUCUUCUGGACCGCCUGCCCCAGGCGGCAAGUGCAAGCGGAAACAGGGCUCGACCCUGUUCGACAGCGCUCCAAACAAGCCCAAGAACCUGGCCGCGACGACCAGGCGGAAAGAGACCGCGGCCAAGAUGGCCCAAUAUCAGAGGCAGCCGAAGGUGCCUAUUAUGGUGUCGGCGUAAGCAUCAUUCCCUCACUCCUAGUCUUUUUGUCAAUCUUGCGUGAAAGCCCUCUGACUUGUCUUCUUAUUUCAGGCCCCCGCUAACCCUCGAGAAGUCGGGCGCCGGCUCGGUCCUCAGGUCGGCAGCGACCUCCUCGACCAGUCGGCACAUCGACCCGGCCGCCGACAUCCGGGAGGCGACAGAGCGGAAUGCGUGGGAGGCGCGCGAUGAAGAGGCUGACCGCCUGGCCAAGGAGUAGGCGGCCUUGUCCGCCGCGUUUGCUGAGAGGGCGUUGGCGCAGGCGGAAGCCUAGGCUGCCGAGAAGGAGCGGCUCGCGGAGGCCGCACGCCGCCAAGAGCCGCUGCUCGUAGCGCCCUUGAACACCGCACAGCCUCCGCCUGAUUUUGAGGCGACGACCGGAGGAGCUGGUGGCGACUACGCGAUUCGGGAGCGGGAGGGCGGCGACGUAGCCAUGCCGGACGUCUUCGUGCCGCCGCCCCCGCCCCCGCCGCCUCCGCCAGCCACCGAGCCGCGGGACGAGCCGCCAGUGGCGCUGCCGGUGCCGCCAGUCGACAAUACGGUGGUGACAGUCCUGGUCCCUGCGGUCCGCCUGCCCACGCGCCGUCUUCUGGAGAAGGCGGCCUCAGCACUGCGGCCGCAGUAGGUCGGUGCCACAAGCUCGUCGGCCCCUGAUACCGAGGCGACCAAAACUGCGCCCGUGGGUUGGAUACACGGGGGCGGGACUGGCGCCCUGAACCAGGCAUCUCUUGACGUCCAGGCCAAGCUCCGGGCAGAGGCGGAGGCGCUCAAGCGUUGCAACGAGGCCUACUUGGAGUCGCGCACCGCCAUCCGGGUAAGUUGUCUUUGGGUUUCUUCUUCGGAUGAUCUUCUUUGCUUCUCUCGUGGGGGCGCGCAAGCGCACCCACUGGGUGUAGUCCCCAAGUUCCGGGCCGCAUGCUGAGCAGGCGGGUCGGAACUUUAUCUUGCAAUUGUCGACUGCUGAUUUCAUCUGAUGCCUAUUCUGCAGGACUAUCACAAUCUCCAGGCGAGCGCCUACAACUCCAAGGUUCGGGAGCUGGAGGCGCAGACGGCGCAUCUGGCCGAAAGCCGGCAUAAGUUUCUGUCUUCUUUCUUUGCGGGGGCACGCUGGCGCACCCGCGGGCUGUAUUCCUCGAGGUUCGGGCCGAUUGCUGAGCAGUCAGGCUGAAUCUCCUUAGUUGUCUUUUUUCCUUGUCAACUACUUCUUUUUUGCGGGGGCGCGCUGGCGCGCCCGCGGGGUGUAGUCCCCGAGGUUCGGGCCGACUUCUGAGCAGUCGGGCCAAAUCUCCUCGGUCGUUUCUUUCCUUUGUCUUGUCCGCUUGACUGAUGCCUUCUUCUUCUCUUUCUUUCAUCAGAGGCUAAUGCCGCCCUGCAGCAGCAGCUGGGCGAAGCCAAGACCGCGUUGCGUGGCGAGGAGGUGGAGUGCAGCAAGGUGGCGAAGGAGCGGGACCGCCUGGUCGCCCAACUUGCCGAACAGGCGGAAACCCUCAAGGCGUCCUAGCUAAAGGCAGAGACGGCGGAGACCAGCCUCAUCGCCGAGUUUGAGAUCGCGCGCUCUUCCUGGGCCAACAAGGAGGCCUAGGUGACGGCCUGCUUCAGCAGCAUCGAAGACAUGGUCGAUGGUAAGCCUCACUCCCUUGGUUUCUUGCUCUGAGCUAUCGGCCCUUGCUCAUAGCCUUGGACUUUUUGCUUCUUCUGCCCGGACAGACUUCUUCCCAGGCCAUUCCGUAGCCGCGAUCCAGAUGAUUGAGGCCCAGCGCAAGGAGCGAAGGGCAGAAGGUGCGCAGAUCGCCGCAGAUGCCCCGUGGACUCUUGGCGAACAGGUCCUGAGCAUUUAGGCCCGGCUUCGGCCUACUCACCGCUUGCUGCGCCGCCUUCAGCGCGUCGGAGCCCAGGCGGUCUCCGCCCUCUGGCCAGGCCUGCUGGCUCCGUGCACCCCCAGUCGGACUGCCGACUGGCUGGAGGUGGCGGCCGGCCGCCUGGAGGCCUAGAAAGGCUCAGCAGCCCGGGCAGGGGCGCGCCGGGCCUUGGAAUUCGUCAAGGCAUGGUACCCUCGGCUAGAUCUAGCCCAGUUAGCCACGUUCCUGCUAGAGGCGCAAGAGGAGCUGGCGGCGGUGGAAGCUGAGAUCGUCAGCAGGGCGGCGGCGAUCGUCGACUUCACUGACACCAGUGUCUUUGUGCCGGAGGUGGUCGAGGAAGGCGGCGAAACUCCGCAUGAGUGGCUCGGGUUAAACCCAGAGGACAGCGAAGAUUAUGUUGAAGUCAUCGACUCCAGCGAUGAAGGGGAAGACGGGGAGGAGGAAGGAGAGGAGGAGGAUGCGGAAGACGAGGAGAGCGACGCCGACAUGCCGGAGGUCGGGGCGGAUGGUCAGCCCUAGCCUGACCGGGCCUCAAGCAACGAGCCACGCACCGAGGUGCCGCCCUCUACUGGAGGCGUCCAACUGGGGGCGGACCCGCCGCCCGUUCCUCCGACGGACGCCAUUGACUCCGUCCUCCAGCACUCCAAUGCCCCUCCUGCCGCUGGUGACUCCUCCAUCCAGAUGGAGCCUCCUACUGCGCCAGGUGGUGCGGCCGACUCCAGCAUCCAGCCGGAGUCCUUGGCCAGGACAUCCGGCAUUGUCCAGCCAGAUCCUUCUGCUGCGCCAGGCGGCGCAGCCCAGCCAGAGCCUUCUGUUGCGCCAACCGGCACUGCCCAGCCGGAGUCUUCUGUUGUGCCAACCGGCACCACCCAGCCGGAGUCUUCUGCUGCUCCUUAGGGUUUUAUCUGCUUUCUACUUGCUGCUCUGAACAUUUUGUUAAAUUCACGCAAUUCCACCCUCGGGGUGUAUAUCAAACUCUGUUUGAAUGCUGGCCAGAGGCCUUUAUCCAUGUAAAUAGUUAUCGUUGCUUAUGCUUUGCUUUGCCUACUUCCAUCUUUCCUUGCUUUUUACUCCUUGGUUUUUCCUUUGCCGCCCUCCCUUGGCUAUCCUCUUGCCAGCCAAACAGCCGCUCUGCGGACUGCGGCUAGGUUGAGUACUUAGUCAUUUGGAGGAGGGCUAGUACUUAGCCAUUCGGGGUGUUGGCAAUGAAAGGUAGGAGUCGGUUGGCCGGCUGCUCUACAGCUGGUUAAAAAAGGUGAGAUGCCGGCCUCUGCUAUAUGCGUUUUGUCCUUAGUCAUUUUUCGUGUGAGCCCCAGUUUGGGACCCCCGCCCGCCGUACAGUCGCUUUGCGAGCUACGGCUUCUGGCAAGGGAAGUGUCUGGUGCCAGCACACUACUUGUCCGGCUGUAGGAGGUGGCAUAUAGUAGAAGGCGGCGCGCCUACGGGCCGACUGGUUGAAACUGGUGCUAGGCGGAAAAACCUAUACAUACUCAUGGCAUAAUUCUUAUCAUAUAGAUAAAAGGGGGCAGUCCCCGAGGUCUUCUCGGGGGACCCGGAGUCUUUAUACAUAGUACAAAAGGUCGCGUGAUACAUAAUGUGUUCAACUGUAAAACCUUCGGAGGAGGUUUGCGUUCCAUGGCCUCUCCGUCUCUUUGCUUGAAUCAUCCCUUUUGCGCGCUCUGGGCUUCUGGGCAUCGAUCAUAUAGUAGGCAUCGUUGCCCAACACCUUACUGAUGAUGAAAGGGCCUUCCCGAGGUGCCGAUAGCUUGUGCUGUCCGGCUGUUCGCUGGAUCAGCCGGAGAACAAGGUCUCCCUCCAGGAAGGAUCUUGGCUUCACCUUGCGGUUGUAGUAUCGACGCAGAUUCUGCUGGUAGAUGGCCGACCAGCUGAGUGCCAACAGCCGGCCUUCCUCCAGCAAGUCGACGCCGUCUUCUCAUGUUUCCUUGGCGUCCGCAUCGGUGUACAUGGUGACUCAUGGGGAGUCGAACUCAAUGUCUGUCGGGAUGACGGCUUCGGCACCGUAUAUGAGGAAGAAAGGCGUGAAGCCCGUUGACUUAUUUGGAGUUGUGCGCAGGCUCCAGAGGAUGGCCGACAGCUCGUCGAGCCAGCAGCCGGCCGAACGCUCUAGAGGCUCGACUAGUCGGGGCUUGAGGCCGGACAAAAUGAGGCUGUUUGCAUGCUCCACUUGGCCAUUUGACUGUGGGUGGGCAACGGACGCUAAGUCCAGGCGAAUGCCCUGUGUUGCACAGAAACGAGCCAGGGCUCCUUUGGCGAAGUUGGUGCCGUUGUCGGUGAUGAUGCUGUGUGGGAUGCCGUAUCGUGUGGUGAUGUCGGCGAUGACGGUCAUGGCAGUAGGCCCAUUCAGCUUCUUGAUUGGUUUUGCCUCCAUCCACUUGGUGAACUUGUCCACGGCAACAAGCAAGUGAGUCAUACCACUGCGGGCCGUCUUGUAUGGUCCCACCAUAUCCAGUCCCCAUACAGCAAAUGGCCAGGCUAUGGGAAUGGUCUUGAGUGCAGAAGCCAGUAGGUGUGGCUUGGAGCGGAACCUCUAGCACCCUUGACACUUCUGAACUAGCUCUUUGGCCUCUUCCAGGGAGGUCGACCAGAAGAACCCGUGGCGGAGAGCUUUGGCCACCAGUGAUCUUGAAGCCGCGUGGUGGCCGCACUCGCCCUGGUGGAUAUCUCUAAGUAUUGCUUGGCCUUGGUCCGACUCCACAAACCGCUGAUAAACUCCUGUGACGCUUCAUUGCACCAGCUCUUUGUUGACUAUGGUGUAAGCUGCAGCUCGCCUGUGCACUUGUCGGGUUGAGCUUUUAUCGGUUGGCAGCUCUUUAUUCACCAAGAACUCAAGGAUUGGCUGAGCCCAUGAGGGCGCCGAAAUUUCUUCGACUGCGACUACUACAACUUGUAUGAGGGCGGUUGGGCUGGGAGGCGGCGGGUUGGCAGCUGCUUCCGCCUGCGGUGCUGAAGAAGUCCCUGGGCCGACUGCUGAAGUCCCCGGGCCGGGCUCUGAAGUCCCCACGCGGGGUGUGGCCGUGGCAGUCCCCGGGCCGCCUGCCGAAAUCCCCAUGCCAGCCUUCGGGAUCGUCAAGUCGGAUCCGACUGCUUCGGGGGAGCCGGCACAAAGAUGGAGUCUGAAUCAGGAGACGGCUUAACAGAUGGCUUCACAAGGCGGCGUAAGGCGACGCUGGCUGGUAUUGCUUGUCGGGUGGAGCCGAUCCGUGCCAGGGCAUCCGCUUGCUUGUUAUCGUUUCUUGGCACGUGAAGGAACUCACACCCAUCAAAGUAUCCGCUAAGUUGCUGCACGAGGAAGAGGUAGCUUGCCAUGUUUGCAUCCUUGGCAUCCCAGUCGCCUGAUGAUUGCUGGACCACCAAGUCGGAGUCACCAUAGCACAGGAUCCGGCGAAUGCCGAGUUCUUUGGCAAGCCGGAGCCCGUGUAUGAGUGCCUCAUAUUCUGCUAUGUUGUUGGAGGCGGCAAAGUGAACUUGCAACACGUAUUUGAGCUUGUCACCCUUGGGAGAGGUGAGGACGACGCCGGCUCCCAGACCAGUGCGCAUUUUUGAACCAUCAAAAUGCAUCCGCCAAUGAGUGGAGUCUGGUGCAGGCGGCAAAUAUUGGGUCUCGGCCCAAUCGACGAGGAUGUCGGCCAAUAAUUGUGAUUUGAUGGCGGUGCGAGGCUGGUAGUAGAUGGUGUAAGGGGCCAGAUCAAUAGCCCACUUGGCCACUCGGCCAGAAGCAUCCCGGCUUCCAAUGAUCUCCAAGUAAGGCUUCAGCUUCUUGGCGGCAAAAUGCACGCCGUAACACAUCUUCUCGUAAUAGGGGUAGUUUUCCUUGGAGGCGGACAAUACUUCGCUCAAGUAAUACACUGAUCUCUGGACCGGCAAUGCUUUGUCCUUCUCCUUGCGCUCUACUACCAUGACUAUGCUGACAACCCAACUGGUGGCUGCAAUGUAGAGGAGCAUGGGCUCCUUCUCAGUCGGAGCUGCCAGGACAGGCGGGGUUGCCAACAUCUUCUUGAGUUGGAGAAAUGCUUCGUCCUCCUUGUCGUUCCACUCGAAAAAAGUGGUCUUCUUCAUGAGUUGGUACAGGGAGGAGCCUUCUCGCCCAGGCGACUGAUGAAAUGGCUGACUGACGCCAGGCAGCCGAUGAACUUCUGCACGUCCAGCAGUCGGGUGGGCACUUUCAUCAUCUCAAUUGCCUUCAUCUUGACGGGGGUUGCAUUCUAUGCCACGCUAUGAGACUAGAAAGCGGAGAAUCUAGCCGGCCGGAACUCCAAAGACACAUUUCUCCGUGUUGAGCUUGAUCUGGAAUCGGCACAAAUUCUCAAAAGUCUCUUUGGGGUCUUCUAGCAGAGUGCCACGCUUCUCCUUAUUCACCACCACAUCAUCCAGAUCUACAUGGGCAUUUCUGCCGAGUUGCUUGAGGAGGCACUUCUGCAUGCAAUGCUGAAAUGUGGCGCCAGCAUUUCUCAACCUGAACGUCAUGGUCAGGUAGCAAAAGUCUCCAAACGGCGUGAUGAAGGCGGUCUUCAGCCCGUUGGCUGGGUUCAGCUUUAUCUGGUGAUAACCUGAGUAUGCAACCAAGAAACUCAACAGCUCGCAUCCGGCUGUGGAGUCUAUCACUUGAUCAAUCCUUGGCAGAGCAAAGGGAUCUAUGGGGCAUUCUUUGUUGAGGCUGGUGUAGUCAAUGCACAUGCGCCACUACUAGUUCUUCUUCAACACUAGGACUCGGUUGGCCAGCCACUCUGGAAAAGAAUACUUCCAUGAUGAAUUCGGCUGCUAGAAGUCGGGCUAUCUCUUCUCCGACAACUCUUCUCUUCUCUUCUGACAGGCGGCGCAAGGGCUGCCUGACCGGCUUGAUGUCAGGUCGGACAUGUAGCUUGUCUUUGGGAGACCAUGCAAAGAUGUCUCGAUUCUCACGGAGGAAAUCGACGAGCUCACUUUCCUAUUUGCAGUCAAGGCCUGUGCCUAUGACAACGUGCCUCUCCGGGUGCUCCGGGUCCAAGGGUAUUUUCUUUGUUUCCUUGGCCGGCUUGAACGAGCCCUCAGCCUCCGACUCCUGGGGGGUGGGUGACAUUUCCGGCUUCUUGCCUGCCAACGCCACCACCCGGUCAAGGAGCCGUUUCUCGGCUGCAAUCAUGAGGGACUCGGCCAGCUGGCUGCUAUCUGCGACGCAAGUGAUUGACUAGUUGUAGUCUCCGACCAAUGUCAGGAUUCCAUUGGUACUUGGCAUCUUCAUCUUGAGGUAGGCGUAGUGGGGACUGCCAUGAACUUGGCUAGAGCAGGCCAGCCUAGCAGUGCAUGGUCGGGGCUCUGAAGGUCCACCGCUUCAAACCAAACUGGCUCUCGGCGGAAAUGAUUCUUGUCUCCGAAGAGGACAUCAAUCUGGGUCUUGCCAAUUGGUGAGCAGGAAAGGCCAGGGAUUAUGCCAUGGAAUACAGUCCGACUGGGGACGAGCUGCUUUUGCUUGAUUCCCAACUUCUCCAUUGUGUCACGGUACAGGAUAUUGAUGCUGCUGCCGCCAUCUAUCAAGACUCUGGAGAAACGGGUUGCUCGCCUCUCCAUUGCAAGGCUCUCUUCUAGGACCAGGGCAUAUGAACCAGGGGAAGGCAUCACUUCCGGGUGGUCGGCCCUGCUCCAACUGAUAGGCCUCUCGGACCAAUGCAUGAACUCUGGAGUGUUGGAGGCCACUGCUUGCACUUCUUGUUGUUGUUGCCGUCUGCUGCGUCUGUCGUCGGCCACGCUGGUGAACACAACAUAGGCUCCAUGUUCCUCCGGGUACUCGUCUUGUAUGGCUCCGACUGGCCGGGCCGCCGGCUGCUGGGGCUGAGGAGGCGGCAGUCUGGCAGGCGGAGGAGGCAGGAGUCCAUCUCCCUUGGCAAUUCUGGUGAGCCAGUGACACUUCCGAGUGCUGUGGUUGGAGGGCUUCGCUCCGCUAUGGAACUUGCAGGGUGCAUCCAAGGUUUGCUCAUAAGAGAAGGCAUGCAACCAAUUGUACUUGCCGCCCGUUUGCCGCUUGGGGGCUGGCUGCCCUUCUGGCUGCUGAUCCUCGACUGUUGCCACCUGCCGGCUGGUGGAAGCCGGUUGGCUGGCCUUCUGCUUGUUAUCACCUGGUUGCUGUCACCAACUGGUGUCACCAGCCGGAGUCCGAGGUGCCUGAGGUGCCACCUUGCCGGACGCGUCAACCAGGAUUUCCACCUUCAUGGAGGAGUCGGCCGUGGCAUGCUUGUCAGCGAUGACCAGCAGCUCAUCCAGGGUCUCUGGCUCAUCGCAGAGGAGUCGGUGCUUAAGGAGGGUGCCCUCUCGGCACCUGGCAGUGAAGUAUUCGAUUGCCUGCACCUCGUGCACGCCCUCGGAGGAAUUGCGCAGCUCAGUCCAGCACGUGAGAUAGUCACGAGUUGACUCCGUGGGCCCUUGGACGCACAAGGAGAGCUGUCGAGGCUUAGGAGCCCGCUUGUAGGUGCUGGUGAAGUUGCAGAUGAAGACCUCAAUGAAAUCAACCCAGCUGUUGAUGCUGCGGGGAUUCAGGCUGUUGAGCCAUGUCCGGGCAGUGCCUUGAAGCAUGAGCGGGAUGUACUUCACGGCAACGCGCUUGUUACCGUUUGCUAUACUGACGGCCGUGGAGUAGUCGACCAUCCUGUCCUCCGGCUUCACGGAGCCGGUGUAUUUGGGCGUGUCUAGCGGGAGGGUGAACCCCUUGGGGAAGGGCUCAUCUCGGAUUCGGGGGCCGAAGGAGGGUGGGCCCAGCGCAUCUUCUUCCUUAAUUGCCAGGGAUCAGUUGAGACGAUCGAUCCAAUGGCGAGCAUCAUUCUCUCCGACUCCCUCUCGAUGGACAAGGCGGUGGCCGAGUGUCAGAUGCGUGAUAGGAGGCGGAGUGGGGUACCACGCUCCAUGAGGCGGGGGAGGCGGCAGGUCGCCUCGCCGCUCUACUUCACGAGGGCCGCCGUCGUCGUCCCGCUCGAUGGAGAGGUGCGUCCCGCUGCGGCUGGCAGCCGGCUCGUUGCCGUUUCCUCCGCAAGCGCUACCAGUCGGCGUUCGGGAGGUCGCCCCAUGAUCUUGGUGUGGGGGCGGCUCGUUGUUUCAUCGGGCUGGGACUUCCGCGCGGCAGGAGGCCUCGUGCUGCACGGCAGCCGCGUCUAGGAGCUGCUGGACUCGCUCCGUCAUGUGGAGGAGCUCGUCGCCGUUGUAUUAGUUCAGCUCAUCCGUUACCGCCUGUGCGGCCAGGAUGUUUUCUACAGGCAUGGCAUAGACGGGGCGUUCCACCCCGAACAUGCUGGCGAUGGUCGUGCCACGCUCCUGAACUGUGCCAAGGCGGCUAGGCCCCUCAGGAGCUGGCGUGCCGCCUACGGUCCGGUCCAUCUCACGCCGAUAGGCGUCCGACAGCCGGCGCAUGCUAGCCAGGCGGCCAGCAUUUUUGACAAUCUAGAGGCAGCGUGCCUCUAGCACCUCAGCAUCCGCGCCCUCUGGAAUGGGCGCCAUAAGGUCGCACAGAGUGGCGUCGAGGGUAUCUUGAGCACGCCCGUCCGACUGCUCCUCACUGUUGAUGACGAGUACCUCCGUGGCGGUGCUCCCGCCACUGUACUCGCGAGGAGGCGGCUCGUCGUACACCACCACGUUGGUGGGGAACGCGUCGAGCGACGCUGUGUCGGUGUCGACGAUCAUCGGAUCGGUCGAGCCGACGUACUCCAGGUCCACAGGAGGCUCGCUGGUGACAUGGAGCUGGUCGAGGAGGCUGACGAGGCGGCUCUCACGGCAGCUUGUGCCCGCGUCGGAGGGCGGCUCGUUGGAGAGGUCGAUCUCGCCGACAAGGUCAGCGAGGCAGCUCGCCGCGCAGGCGAUCUCUGAGCCGUGCAGCGCAUCGGGGCUGACGCCGUCGGGCGUGCUGGGCUGGCUUCGCUCGCCAAGAAGGAACAUGGUUCCCGUCCAGAGCAGAUCUCCGGUAGACGGUGCACCUCGCCCCAUGGUGGGCGCCAAAUGUCGAGGUUUGGUUGCCUGAUAUGCCAAUGGAUGGCUUAUCAUGGUGGGAGCGAGUAGAUCGUCGCCGGUGCCUGGAAACGGGAUAAGGCGCAGACACGACGCCGGCGUACUUUACCCAGGUUUGGGUCUCUCCUAGGAGAUAACACCCCUAAUCCUUCUCUGCGGGAUCUCCGCAUGAUCACUAUGGCACAAGUGAUACAAUGGUGCUCGUUGAGCUGUGUGCUAGAGGCAGAAGGAGGCAAGGCUAGCUCUCUUCCUGCUCUAGGGGGGAGGCUAGUUCUAAUGGAGUGGGAACCCUUCGCAUGGGUGGCCUGGGGGGGUUUAUAUAGGCCUACCCCCCAGGGGUACAAUGAUAAUCUGGCCGGCUGCUGGGCCCGGCUGUUAGUGUCUCCAGCCUCCGACAUCUCUGCCGACCGCUGGGGCCCGCCGCCUGGUGGGCCCCGCCGACUGGUUGGUGGCUGCUUACUAGAGCCGUGUCGUUGGUGACGGGGGCUUGGUCAUCUUAGCGUGGCUACAGUCCCGCCGCCUGGUGGGAGGCCACUGUAGCCACACCUGGUCUUAUCAGCUUAAUGGUGUGCUUGCCUCGGGACAAGGGACGGUUGGCUGCUGGAGGCCGGCCCCUCUUGAACCAGCCUGGUCGAGCAUCCGCUGUCUUCCUUGGGAUCACUGCCCGAUAGGGCCCGCCUCUGGCAGGCCGUACCGACAGGCCGUCGUGGGGAACAGGGCUCCGCCUACCCGGAGCGAUGUUAGGGUAGUUACGGCACAGUGCUCCGUCGUGCGAGAUCUCCGUCUGUACGGAGCACUGUAGCCACGCCCAUCUCGAGUGUGGGAGGCGUCGUGCUUCACUGUAGCCAUGCUUUGACUUGUACUCUUGAUGGGGGCUCGGCCGCACCUUAGUCGUGAGGUGGCCGCCUGCCCGUUGCCGCCCUCUCCGGAGGGCGGCCGCCAGGAUCCGGCCACGCGGAGCACCGUAGUCUUGGCUCGGCCGCCCUCUGGCAACCGGCCGCUGAGCCAGCCUGGCCCAGAGGGCGGAGCUUUAGCUUGGGGUCCAGCUAGGGUUAGCUGGCCCAAAGUCUUGAUAAAUUCAGGGACCCGGGUGAGCCUACCCAUGGCCCAUUACUCCUACAGUGUAGUUGCAGGUAUUUCUUCUCAUUUUCAUCUGCAGUUAUUCCGUUAUGCUUACCAUGCAUGCUUGUGUGCUAUCUUUGGCUAUGAUAGUUAGAAUGUUGAUAUUGAUAAUGCCAUGUCACUACUCUACUUUAUUCUCAUGUCAUCGUUAUAAAAUGCUAUGAUACACCAUGGAUAAGUUAGUACUUGGUAUUGUUAUAUUCUUUAUGUUGUAGUUCUUCACUUCAGAAGUUCGAUAUGUUAUUAAAGCAUUUGUAUGAUGUAUUCUCAUUGUUGCAUUCAUGUUAAAAUGCUUGUAUGAUGAUUGAUGAUGGAGAAGAUAAUAAUAUGACUUAAUAACAAAACCCCUCCGACAUCGAUGGGAUCGAGUCAUACUGCCGCCAAAUCGAAUUUUUCCAAUGCAACCACAUUUGCCGGGAUGGGACGGCCCUAAUGCGGUCUAUUGUCGUGCCUCUCGCCGGUGCCUCCAACAAGGGAAGGUUAUGGGCGCAUGCUACCCUAAUCAGGUAGGCGGACAUAGGCCUUGUGUGCCCAUAGUUGGAUUUUGCGCACUUUUGUCCACGUGUGGGAUCGUUUAUGUUUUUGCCACGACGGUGGUUUGAGGUGUCUUGAGGUAGACACGGGGCCACCCAUGACUUAGCCCAGAGGGGAGCGAGUCGGAGUGGCUGGGAGAGUGUCAUGGCAGUAGAUCGGUUUUGUCGGAACGCCGGGUCCACCUGAAUGGGAUGACGAGGCCAUGGGUUCUGUGGUGUGGGUACAGUGCGCUACCUCUGCAGAGUGUAUUUAAACUAUCAAUAGCCGCAUCCUCGGUCAUGGGCAUAAGUUCGUAGUAGGGUACACUAUCGGGUGUUGGUCGAAAUGGAGGAUAAACCUGAAAUAAUUAAGCCGAUUAAUGUGGUUGUGAUCGCCGUAAGGAUCACGGGCCAGUUAUUGAUCGUGGUUGUGAUCGCCAUAAGGAUCACGGGCCAUUUAUUGGUCGGGUUGUGAUCGCCGUAAGGAUCACGAGUUUGUCUCUGUUGGUGAUCAGGAAAUGAGGUGAUCACCGGUGGUAAGAGAGUCCGAGGGACUUAGUGCACAAGUUUGGUGGCAUUGCAUGAGUAAUAUGUUUGCAUUUAAAGGACCAUUGUAGAACAUGAGAUGGUUGCAUACAGUUAACAUGCUAUGUCUGCAUUUGAUAUGAUUGGUAGUUUAUUUUCAGCAUAGUUUCAUGAUGCCAUGCCAUGCGUUGAUUGCUAUGAUUGAGAUGAUAUGCUAUGUUUUUCUGUUUCCAUGUUAGAAGUAAAUUUUCUAUGCCAUGUCGUUGCCAUGCUAGUAGAUGUCAUGAUGUUAGUUUGAUUUAUGUCUUUGGUUGAUAUCAUGCCAUGUUUAGUAAUUGAUAUAAGAUAGGUUGUUGCAUUCGCUCGGUUCAUGCUUUGUCUUCUGCUUGUUUGGAUGCUAUGUAUUUGGUUGUCUUACAAGUACAUUCAAUGUACUGACCUGGCAUGUCAUGCCAGUUUUGUAGGUCGUUCUUGCGGUGUUCUGGGAACGGGGGUCCCCAGACUUGCCUGCCUGCGGCCUGCAGUAUGGCUCAAGUGGUGGCCUAGUACGGCCCAUCUCCAUCAGCACAAGACUGAAGACCCUCGCGAGGGGCCAAGCCUCGCGGGGCGGACACAAGACUUCUUCAAGAACGGCCUCGCUAGGCAGGCUCGCGGGGAGGUGGAGAGAUCAAUGCAGGGUACCUCGUGAGGUGCUCGUGACGCAAGCCAUGACGAUCGGGACCAGGCGGGCGCCGGCCUGUGCAGUGUCCUUGUUUCCUCUUUGGUGCAAAGGGGGCAAGCACAUGCGUAGAGUACCGAGGCAUCAGGCAAACGUUGCCAUUUCAGUGCAACGAGACCAAGACCAGCGGAGCGGCAGGAUGGAGGUCACCGUGGAGCCCAGGACGGCGUCAUCACCAGUGCCUUUGGCAGCCGAAGACCAACUUUAGUCAGGAUAACUUGUACUAGAUGUUCCCCUUCGAAAUGGCCGUUUUUGGUGCCCUUCUCGCUCAAUAUUUGGGAAGAGGCCCAGGGCCUCUAUAUAUAGGGAUACCUACCACAGAAUAGGGGCAUCUGGUUCGGCAUCCAAGAGGCGAUCGAACUCACCCAAGCAGUUCAUCGCACCAGCUCAAGAACACCUCUCGCGAGGCUGUUCUUCCCUUGUACUGUUCAUCAUCAGCCCCUGAGUCAAUCCACCACACCACACACUGGAGUAGGGUAAUACACCAAAACGGUGGCCCAAACCAGUAUAAAUCUUGUGUCCCUUGUGUUGUUCAUCGUUUUAGCUUAGAUUCUCACAAGGCGAUCGGACGUAGGUCGGUAGGGGAAAGAUCUUCGUGCGCACCCCAGAGUUCGAACCUUAAUGGUCUGCAGAACCCAACAUCCGACAGUUCUCUUGUUCUGUCGUGCUAGGCCAUAAUCUUUCCAGUCCUGUGAGUUGUGGAGCCCAGCCAGAGUGAUAUGCUGCCAAGACUUCCGCCACCAUUUAAAUAGACUUCUGCUGCCAUGUAAAUAGCCUUAGGGCUAUGCCGGAAGAUUAUAUUCAUCACUGAUGUAAUCAUAUACACAUGUAUUUGAUGAAUAUUCUUGUACCUGGAAUGCUGUAUCAUGGACCUGUCGUGCGUCAGAUGUUAUCCUGGGCUGACGUGCGAAGGCCCCCUGCUUCAUGCGGAUCGGCGUGCCAUAGGUGAUUUUGUCCUUGAUAACAAGGCGAGCCAUCAAACCUUUUUUUGACGUCACCAUGGAACUCUCAAUGAAAGCACCAAUGUCGGUGUCAAAACCGGAGGAUCUUGGGUAGGGGGUCCCGAACUGUGCAUCUGAGGCAAAUGGUAACAGGAGGCGGGGGACACAAUGUUUACCCAGGUUUGGGCCCUCUCGAUGGAGGUAAUACCCUACUUCCUGCUUGAUUGAUCUUGAUGAUAUGAGUAUUACAAGAGUUGAUUUACCAUGAGAUUGUAGAGGCUAAACCCUAGAGGCUAUAUGCGUUUGGGACCCCCGCUCGCCGUACAGUCACUCUGCAAGCUGCGGCUUCUGGCAAGGGAAGUGUCUGGUGCCAGCACACUACUUGUCCAGCUGCAGGAGGUGGCAUAUAGAAGAAGGCGGCGCUCCUAGGGGCCGACUGGUCGAAACCAGUGCCAGGCGGAAAAACCUAUACAUACUCAUGGCAUAAUUCUUAUCAUAUAGAUAAAAGGGGGCAGUCUCCGAGCUCUUCUUGGGGGACCCGGAGUCUUUAUACAUAGUACAAAAGGUCGCGUGAUACAUACUGUUUUCAACUGUAAAACCUUCGGAGGAGGUUUGUGUUCCAUGGCCUCUCCGUCUCUUUGCCUGAAUCAUCCCUCUUGCGCGCUCUGGGCUUCUGGGCGUCGAUCAGAUAGUAGGCAUCGUUUCCCAACACCUUACUAAUGAUGAAAGGUCCUUCCCAAGGUGCCGAGAGCUUGUGCUGUCCGGCUGUUCGCUGGAUCAGCCGGAGCACAAGGUCUCCCUCCAGGAAGGAUCUUGGCUUCACCUUGCGGUUGUAGUAUCGGCGCAGAUUCUGCUGGUAGAUGGCCGACCGGCUGAGUGCCAACAGCCGGCCUUCCUCCAGCAAGUAGACGUCGUCAUCUCGUGCUUCCUUGGCAUCCGCCUUGGUGUACAUGGUGACUCAUGGGGAGUCGAACUCAAUGUCUGUCGGGAUGACGGCUUCGGCACCAUAGACGAGGAAGAAAGGCGUGAAGCCCAUUGACUUGUUUGGAGUUGUGCGCAGGCUCCAGAGGACGGCCGGCCGCUCGUCGAGCCAGCAGCCGGCCGAACGCUCCAGAGGCUCGACCAGUCAAGGCUUGAGGCCGGACAAAAUGAGGCCGUUUGCACGCUCCACUUGGCCAUUUGACUGUGGGUGGGCAACGAACGCUAAGUGCGGGCGGAUGCCCUGUGUUGCACAGAAACGAGCCAAGGCUCCUUUGGUGAAGUUGGUGCCGUUGUCGGUGAUGAUGCUGUGUGGAAUGCCAUAUCGCGUGGUGAUGUCGGCGAUGAAGGUCACGAUAGUAAACCCAUUCAGCUUCUUGAGUGGUUUUGCCUCUAUCCACUUGGUGAACUUGUCCACGGCAACAAGAAAGUGAGUCAUGCCACCGCGGGCCGUCUUGAAUGGUCCCACCAUAUCCAGUCCCCAUACAGCAAAUGGCCAGGCUAUGGGAAUGGUCUUGAGUGCAGAAGCCGGCAGGUGUGGCUUGGAGCGGAACCUCUGGCACCCUUGACACUUCUGAACUAGCUCUUUGGCCUCUUCCAGGGCGGUCGGCCAUAAGAACCCGUGGCGGAAAGCUUUGGCCACCAGUGAUCUUGAAGCCGCGUGGUGGCCGCACUCGCCCUGGUGGAUAUCUCUGAGUAUUGCUUGGCCUUGGUCCGACCCCACACACCGCUGAUAAACUCCUGUGACGCUUCGUCGCACAAACUCUUUGUUGACUAUUGUGUAAGCUGCAGCUUGCCUGUGCACUUGUCGGGCUGAGAUUUCAUCGGUUGGCAGCUCUUUAUUCACCAAGAACUUGAGGAUUGGCUGAGCCCAUGAGGGCGCUACAAUUUCUUCGACUGUGACUACUGCAACUUGUAUGAGGGCGGUUGGGCCGGGAGGCGGCGGGUUGGCAGCUGCUUCCGCCUGCGGUGCUGAAGAAGUCCACGGGCCGACUGCUGAACUCCCCGGGCCGGGCUCUGAAGUCCCCGGGGCGUGCUCUGAAGUCCCCGAGCCGGGUGUGGUCGUGGCAGUCCCUGGGCCGCCUGCCGAAAUCCCCGUGCCGGCCUCCGGGGUCGUCAAGUCAGAUCUGACAGCUUCGGGGGGAGCGGCACAAAGAUGGAGUCUGAAUCAGGAGACGGCUUGACAGACGGCUUCAGAAGGCGGCGUAAGGCGACACCGGCUGGUAUUGCUUGUCGAGUGGAGCCGAACCGUUCCAGCGCAUCCGCUUGCUUGUUAUCAUUUCUUGGCACGUGAAGGAACUCGCACCCAUCAAAGUAUCCGCUGAGUUGCUGCACGAGGAAGCGGUAACUUGCCAUGUUUGCAUCCUUGGCGUCCCAGUCGCCUGAUGACUGCUGGACCACCAAGUCGGAGUCACCAUAACACAGGAUCCGGCGAAUGCCGAGUUCUUUGGCAAGCCGGAGCCCAUGUAUGAGUGCCUCAUAUUCUGCUACAUUGUUGGAGGCGGCGAAGUGGACUUGCAACACGUAUUUGAGCUUGUCGCCCUUGGGAGAGGUGAGGACGACGCCGACUCCCGGACCAGUGCACAUUUUUGAACCAUCAAAAUGCAUCCGCCAAUGAGUGGAGGCUAGUGCAGGCGGCAAAUAUUGGGUCUCGGCCCAAUCGACGAGGAUGUCGCCCAACAAUUGUGAUUUGAUGGCGGUGCGAGGCUGGUAGUAGAUGGUGUAAGGGGUUAGAUCAAUAGCCCACUUGGCCACUCGGCCAGAAGCAUUCCGACUUCCAAUGAUCUCAGCAAGCGGGGCUGUGCAGAUGACAGUUAUUGGGUGCUCCUGAAAGUAAGGCUUCAGCUUCUUGGCGGCAAAAUGCACGCCGUAACACAUCUUCUGGUAAUGGGGGUAGUUUUGCUUGGAGGCGGACAAUACUUCGCUCAAGUAAUACACCGUUAUCUGGACCGGCAAUGCUCAAGUAAUACGCGCUGUACUACCAUGACUAUGCUGACAACCCGACUGGUGGCUACAAUGUAGAGGAGCAUGGGCUCCUUCUUAGUCGGAGCUGCCAGGACAGGCGGGGUUGCCAACAUCUUCUUGAGUUGGAGAAAUGCUUCGUCCGCCUUGUCGUUCCACUCAAAAAAAUUGGUCUUCUUCAUGAGUUGGUACAGGGGAAGAGCCUUCUCGCCCAGCCGACUGAUGAAACGGCUGACUGACGCCAGGCAGCCGGUGAACUUCUGCACGUCCAGUAGUCGGGUGGGAAUUUUCAUCAUCUCAAUUGCCUUGAUCUUCACGGGGUUGCAUUCUAUGCCGCGCUAUGACACCUGAAAGCCGAGAAGCUGGCCGGCCGGAACUCCAAAGACACAUUUCUCCGGGUUGAGCUAGAUCUGGAAUCGGUGCAAAUUCUCAAAAGUCUCUUUGAGGUCUUCUAGCAGAGUGCCACGCUUCUCCUUCUUCACCGCCACAUCAUCCACAUAUACAUGGGCAUUUCUGCCGAGUUUCUUGAGGAGGCACUUCUGCAUGCAACGCUGAAACGUGGCGCCGGCAUUUCUCAAGCCGAACGUCAUGGUCAGGUAGCAGAAGGCUCCAAACGGCGUCAUGAAGGCGGUCUUCAGCCUGUCAGCCGGGUUCAGCUUUAUCUGGUGAUAACCUGAGUAUGCAUCCAAGAAACUCAACAGCUGGCAUCCGGCUGUGGAGUCUAUCACUUGAUCAAUCCUUGGCAGAGCAAAGGGAUCUUUGGGGCAGGCUUUGUUGAGGCUGGUGUAAUCAAUGCACAUGCGGCACUACUUGUUCUUCUUCAACACUAGGACUGGGUUGGCCAGCCACUCUGGAAAGAAUACUUCCAUGAUGAAUCCGGCUGCUAGAAGCCGGGCUAUCUCUUCUCCGACAACUAUUAUCUUCUCUUAUGAUAGGCGGCGCAAGGGCUUCCUAACCGGCUUGACGUCAGGUCGGACAUGUAGCUUGUCUUUGGGAGACCAUGCAAAGAUGUCCCGAUUCUCACGGAGGAAAUCGACGAGCUCGCUUUCCUAUUUGGUGUCAAGGCCUGUGCCUAUGAUAGCGUGCCUCUCCGGGUGCUCCGAGUCCAAGGGUAUUAUCUUUGUUUCCUUGGCAGGCUUGAAGGAGCCCUCAGCCUCCGACUCCUGGUGGGUGGGUGACAUUUACGGCUUCUUGCGUACUAACGCCGCCACCCGGUCAAGGAGCCGUUUCUCGGCUACAAUCACGAGGGACUCGGCCAGCCGGCUGCUAUCUGCGGCACAAGUGAUCAACUUCUUGUAGUCUCCGACCACUGUGAGGAUUCCGUUGGUACUUGGCAUCUUCAUCUUGAGGUAGGUGUAGUGGGGGACUACCAUGAACUUGGGCAGAAAAGGCCGGCCUAGCAGUGCAUGCUAGGGGCUCGGAAGGUCCACCACUUCAAACCAAACUGGCUCUCGGCGGAAAUUGUUCUUGUCUCCGAAGAGGACAUCAAUCUGGAUCUUGCCGAUUGGUGAGCAGGAAAGGCCAGGGACUAUGCCAUGGAAUACAGUCCGACUGGGGACGAGCUGCUUCUGAUUGAUUCCCAACUUCUCCAUUGUGUCAUGGUACAUGAUAUUGAUGCUGCUGCCGCCAUCUAUCAAGACUCUGGAGAAAUGGGCUGCUCGCCUCUCCGUUGCAAGGCUCUCUUCUAGGACCAGGGCAUAUGAACUAGGGGAAGGCAUCACUUCCGGGCGGUCGGCCCUGCUCCAACUGAUAGGCCUCUCGGACCAAUGCAUGAACUCUGGAGUGUUGGAGGCCACUGCUUGCACUUCUUGUUGUUGUUGCCGUCUGCUACGUCUGUCGUCGGCCACGCUGGUGAACACAACAUAGGCUCCGUGUUCCUCCGGGUACUUUUCUUGUAUGGCUCCGACUGGCCGGGCCGCCGGCUGCUGGGGCUGAGGAGGCAGCGGUCCGGUAGGCGGAGGAGGAAGGAGUCCAUCUCCCUUGGCAAUUCUGGUGAGCUAGUGACACUUCCGAGUGGUGUGGUUGGAGGGCUUCGCUCCGCUAUGGAACUUGCAGGGUGCAUCCAAGGUUUUCUCAUAAGAGAAGGCAGGCAACCAAUUGUACUUGCCGCCCUUCUGCCGCUUGGGGGCUGGAUGCCCUUCUGGCUGCUCAUCCUCGACUGUUGCCACCUGCCGGCUGGUGGAAGCCGGCUGGGUGGCCUUCCGCUUGUUAUCACCUGGUUGCUGUCGCCGACUGGUGUCACCAGCCGGAGUCCAAGGUGCCUGAUGUGCCACCUUGCCGGACGCGUCAACAAGGAUUUCCGCCUUCAUGGAGGAGUCGGCCGUGGUAUGCUUGUCGGCGAUGACCAGCAGCUCAUCGAGGGUAUCGGGCUCGUCGCAGAGGAUUCGGUGCUUGAGGAGGGUGCCCUCUCGGCACCCGGCAGUGAAGUAUUCGAUUGCCUGCACCUCGUGCACGCCCUCGCGGGAAUUGCGCAGCUCGGUCCAGCGCGUCAAGUAGUCGCGAGUUGUCUCCAUGGCCCCUUGGACGCACAAGGAGAGUUGUCGGGGCUUAGGAGCCCGCUUGUAGGUGCUGGUGAAGUUGCGGAUGAAGACCUCAAUGAAAUCAACCCAGCUGUUGAUGCUGCGGGGAUUCAGGCUGUUGAGCCACGUCCCGGCAGUGCCUUGAAGCAUGAGUGGGACGUACUUCAUGGCAACGCGCUUGUUGCCGUUUUCUAUAAUGACGUCCGUGGAGUAGUCGACCAUCCAGUCCUCCGGCUUCACGGAGCCGGUGUAUUUGGGCGUGUCUAGCAGGAGGGUGAAUGUCACACCCAAUAUGCGAUACUAUCCAAAAGAGACUCAAAGGUCCCACGAAGGAUAGAACCGCAUAUUGAAACGCUUUUGCAAGGUGGAUAUCAUUACAUCAACAUUACAUAAUAGAUGGGGAUAAAUACAAGAGGCAUGCAAUGCCACAUGAAUACAACAUCACAAUACAUAAGAGCAUCAUCCGACUACGUAUGAAACACAAACAGAAACUCAAACGACAACCACCCUGCUAGCCCAGGCUGCCGACCUGGAACAUACCCCCUGAUCGAAGAAGAAGCAGAAGAGAACUCCAAAACAAGCAAACAUCGCUCUCGCAUCAUGAUCAUCGCAAAUCUGUACCUGCAACUAUUGUUGUAGUAAUCUGUGAGCCACGAGGACUCAGCAAUCCCAUUACCAUGGGUAUCAAGACUAGCAAAGCUUAAAGGGUAAGGAAGGGGUAAAGUGGUGAGGUUGCAGCAGCGACUAAGCAUAUAUGGUGGCUAACAUACGCAAAUAAGAGCGAGAAGAGAGCAAACGAAAUAGUCGUGAAGCUAGCAAUGAUCAAGAAGUGAUCCUGAACUCCUACUUACGUCAAACAUAACCCAAAACCGUGUUCACUUCCCGGACUCCGCCGAAAAGAGACCAUCACGGCUACACACUCGGUUGAUGCAUUUUAAUUCAGAUCUGGUGUCAAGUUAUCUACAACCGGACAUUAACAAAUUCCCAUCUGCCCAUAACCGCGGGCACGGCUUUCGAAAGUUUAUACCCUGCAGGGGUGUCCCAACUUAGCCCAUGAUAAGCUCUCGCGAUCAACGAAGGAUAUUCCUUCUCCCAGGAAGACCCGAUCAGACUCGGAAUCCCGGUUACAAGACAUUUCGACAAUGGUAAAACAAGACCAGCAAAACCUCCCGCUGUGCCAACAAAUCCCGAUGGGAGCUGCACAUAUCUCGUUCUCAGGGCACACCGGAUGAGCCAGAUGUCGGGUUGGCAUAGACCCUAAUUUCCCAGGGGGUGCCGGACAUCACUCGGUUUGGACCAACACUUGGACAAGCAUUGGCCCAGGGGCGGGGGUAAAAUAAAGAUGACCCUCGGGCUCCGGUAACCCAAGGGAAAAAGGGCUAGGUGAGGCAAAUGGUAAAACCAAUGUUGGGCCUUGCUGGAGGAGUUUUAUUCAAAGCGAACUGUCAAGGGGGUCCCAUAAAUCACCCAACCGCGUAAGGAACACAAAAUCCGGGAACAUAACACCGGUAUGACAGAAACUAGGGCGGCAAGAGUGGAAGAAAACACCAGGCAUAAGGCCAAGUCUUCAACCCUUUACCAAGUAUAUAGAUGCAUUAAUAAAAUAAGAGAUAUUGUGAUAUCCCAACAUAAUCAUGUCCACCAUGGGGCAAUCUUCAACUUCAUCUGCAAGUAGCAACGCUAUAAGAGGGGCUGAGCAAAGUGGUAACAUAGCCAAACAACGGUUUGCUAGGAAGGGUGACAAAGGUUAGAGGUUCAUGGCAAUUUGGGAGGCUUGAGGAACAAGUCAUAGGUAGCGCAGCAUAGCGAUAGAACAAAACAACUAGCAUAGCAGUGAUAGUAGUGAGAUCCAGGGUAGCGGUCAUCUUGCCUGAAAUCCCACAAGGAAGAAGAACGAGUCUGUGAAGAAGAUGAAGCCACGAAGACGAACCAAGCGUAGACGAACGCAUCCUCACGAUCGCAACGAAACGGGAACUAUCGAGAAGAAGCACAUAACAUAGUAAACACACCACACAUAUACAUGACACGAUGCACAACCAAGCAUGAUGCAUGACAAAGACUACAUGAAGCUACUCAUGGCAAGAGAUGAUGCAAACAAGAACAACACAUCAAGACAAGUUAAAUGAGGCCGGAAACAACAUAUAACAAUUCCGGUAAGUCCUCAUAUGCAAGUUUCGAAAUUGGUCCAGAUCUGAAUAAACAUUAUGUUCAAGGUGUUAAACAGCAAGUUAAGAUGCACCAAGAUGAUCUACACAACAUUCUAGUCAAGUUACAUAUAAAGUUCAUUUAAUUCAGAGCUACGGCCUAGAAGAUAUGAGCAAAACAAGAUAAACAUGGCAUUGAUGCAAAAUCCAUACAAACAUCAAGAAAACACCUCAAAACAAGGAUGUAACAUUAUAAUAUGAAACUACAUGCAAAAUCAAGCAAGUUUCAUAUAGAGCACACUCAAAACGGAGCAACGGUUCCACACACACAUGAAACAAGUUAUAGCAACAAUCUGUCCAGAACAGCAACUAGGCAUCUAGCAAACAUCAAAACAACAUGCUACAGCACCUUAACAUGAAAACAAAAGGCAUGGACAUGAUGUAAAGGUAAAUCAUAACAAAGUAUGAACACUGAGCUAUCUCCAGAAAACACUAGAACAUGCUCAGAAAGACAUGGCAAGAUUGCAAAUAAUAACAGUUUCAGACUUUGUAGAAAUAACAUCAGGCUGCAAUGUUUAGAGCUAUCAAACAACAUGUUACAGGAACUUAACAUGGCAAACAAAGGCAUGUAAUUAUACUACUAAAAGCAUAGAAGAACAGACCCUUACUGACCAUGAGCCAAAAAGGAUUAGAAAAUAUGAUGGCACCCAUGUAAACAUAGCAAGUUAUAUGAAAGAUUCAAACAUGGCAGGAACAACAAUAAGUAGGCAUGUUGGUGAGCUUGUACCACUCACCAAAGAGCAAUACAUGGCAUGACAAGGCAACCAACAGUAAGAUGACAUGUUUAUUAAGCUAUACAUGGCAAUAGGAAGUUCAUAGGGUGCAUGGAUAACUAGCAACACACAUGGCAAAACUGAACUUAAUGUUAACAAGCUGACAACAACAUUAUUUAGUAAUUUUAGAGCAAGAUUACAACAAGCUACAGCAGGCUAUAAAUUCAACCAGGGGCAUGUAUGGAUAGAGCAUGACAUGUAUAACAAAACAACCUUAGUGAACAUCGCCAGAUUAUACAUAGAAUGACUUGUAUCAGCAGGUUUACAUAGCAUCAUGAUGUAAUAGAUUCAGCCUAGCAAAACAGCAACAACAAGUACCCUACUUAACAAGCUUGAUGCACUCAGUACACAACUCACAAAAAUACAUGGAUUGCACUACUGUAACGAUGGCAUGAUGUAGCACAAAACACAUGUAGAGCUCAUGCUCAUAGGAUGCACACACAAAAUUCAACGAAAAAGACAAAUCACCAAGUUAUAAUAGUUUCAACAGAUUAACAUCAUAUAGAACUCUUGCAAUGAUGAUUCGGGCAUCAAGGUGGACUCAAACAAGAAUGGAACGAUGUAAUAAAAUGUAGGCCAUCUCUCAGUGAACAUUUUGAUAUAUUAUACAUGCAAAACGGAGUUGCGGUCAUGGAGAUAUGGCAUCACGAACAGUGCAUCAGAAUGUUAAGGACUUUGCAGGAAUUACCCUCGGGAAAACGGGAUAGAGGGAAGCGGGACGAGGAAAUCCGGGAUGGGGCCGCAUUUGGAUGGUGAGCCUGCUGGAUCUGAUCCACCCUCGUGGAUCGGGCCGGGUGGAACUCCGGCGAGGGCGGCGCGCAGGCGGCGGUCGCCGGCGACGGAGGGCGGCGGCCACGGGCGCCAACGGGGCCGGAUCCGGUGGCUCCCGGAGCCGCGACGCGAGAUCCGUUCGGGCGGGGCCAGAGCGACGGCGGGGAUGGCCAUAGGCGAGGAACGGCGAGGCCGAAGGCGGCGCGCCGGCGAGGGAGACUGGGAGGCNNNNNNNNNNNNNNNNNNNNNNNNNNNNNNNNNNNNNNNNNNNNNNNNNNNNNNNNNNNNNNNNNNNNNNNNNNNNNNNNNNNNNNNNNNNNNNNNNNNNNNNNNNNNNNNNNNNNNNNNNNNNNNNNNNNNNNNNNNNNNNNNNNNNNNNNNNNNNNNNNNNNNNNNNNNNNNNNNNNNNNNNNNNNNNNNNNNNNNNNNNNNNNNNNNNNNNNNNNNNNNNNNNNNNNNNNNNNNNNNNNNNNNNNNNNNNNNNNNNNNNNNNNNNNNNNNNNNNNNNNNNNNNNNNNNNNNNNNNNNNNNNNNNNNNNNNNNNNNNNNNNNNNNNNNNNNNNNNNNNNNNNNNNNNNNNNNNNNNNNNNNNNNNNNNNNNNNNNNNNNNNNNNNNNNNNNNNNNNNNNNNNNNNNNNNNNNNNNNNNNNNNNNNNNNNNNNNNNNNNNAGGAGUCGGCAGGGCAAGUCGGAGCGGCUCGGGCGCGGGCGGGCCCGGCGCGGGCCGGUCGUGGGCUGGAGCGGGCCGCGGUGGAGGGAGGCGUGGGGAGGACGCGCAGGGCGACGUGGCGCUCCACGAUUCGCUGAGGGGGCGGUGGCGGACAUGUCUGGUGGGGUAUGGACAUGUCCGGCGGCUGGAGGAGGAAGAAGCUAGGGUUUCGGGGGAUUCAUCCGUGAAUUUGGACGGGGAGGGCAUAUUUAUAGUGUCUGGGAGCUAGGAGAGUCCAAAUGAGGCACGAUUUUUGCCCAUACGAUCGUGAUCGAACGACCGAGAGCAUUGAGGGGGUUAGGAUGGGUUUUGGGCCACUUUGGAGGGGUGUUGGGCUUCACAAAAGAAGGGGGGUUUUGGGCUACACGGUUAACUGUUGGAGUAUCAAACGACCUCCAAAUGGAAAGAAACUUGACAGGUGGUCUACCGGUGCUAUAUCAAGGCCGCAUGGCAAACCUCGGGCCAUUCCGAGAAAGUUUAACACCCUCUCACAAUGAUAGACAAAAGGGGGACGCCGGAGGACAUAGGAGUGCCGGAUCGCAAAACGGACAACGGGGAAAAAGCUCGGAUGCAAGAAACGAACACGUAUGCAAAAUGAGAUGCACAUGAUGACAUGAUGACAUGCAACAUGCAAGAAAAUGACAUGGCAACUACGGCAAAUAACUGGCGGACACCUGGCGCAACGAAUCCGGGGCGUUACAGUGAACCCCUUGGGGAAGGGCUCAUCUCGGAUUCGGGGGCCGAAGCAGGGAGGGACCAGUGCAUCUUCUUCUUCAAGUGCCAGGGAUCGGUUGAGACGAUCAAUCCAAUGGCGAGCAUCAUUCUCUCCGACUCCCUCUCGAUGGCCAAGGCGGUCGCCGAGUGUUAGAUGCAUGACAGGAGGCGGAGUGGGGUACCACGCUCCACGAGGCGGGGGAGGCGGCAGGUCGCCUUACUGCUCUACUGCACGAGGGAGGCCGUCGUCGUCCCGCUCGAUGGAGAGGCGCGUCCGGCUGCAGCUGGCAGCCGGCUUGUUGCCCUUUCCUCUGCGGGCGCCACCAGUCGGCGUCCGGGAGGUCGCCCCAUGAUCUUGGCGUGGGGGCGGCUCGUUGUUUCGUCGGGCUGGGACUUCAGCGUGGCAGGCGGCCUCGUGCUGCGCGGCAGCCGCGUCUAGGAGCUGCUGGACUCACUCUGUCAUGUGGCGGAGCUCGUCGCCACUGUAUUUGUUCAGCUCAAACGUUACCGCCUGUGCGGCCCGGAUGUUUUUUGCAGGCAUGGCGUAGACGGGGCGUUCUGCCCCGAACAUGCUGGCGAUGGUCGCGCCACGCUGCCGAACUGUGCCGAGGUGGCUAGGCCCCUCAGGAGACGGCGUGCCGCCUACGGCCCGGUCCAUCUCGCGCCUGUAGGCGUCCGACAGCCGGCGCAUGCUGGCCAGGCGGCCAGCAUUUUCGACAAGCUGGAGGCGGCGUGCCUCCGGCACCUCAGCAUCCGCGCCCUCGGGAAUGGGUGCCAUGAGGUCGCGCAGAGUGGCGUCGAGGGGAUCUUGAGCACGCCCGUCCGAGUGCUCCUCACUGUUGAUGACGAGUACCUCCCUGACGGUGCUCCCGCCGCUGGACUCGCGAGGGGAUCUUGAGCUCACCCGUCCGAGUGCUCCUCACAGGUGCGGAACGCAUCGAGCGACGCUGUGCCGGUGUCGACGAUCAUCGGAUCGGUCGAGCCGACGGACUCCAGGUCCACAACAGGCUUGCUGGUGACAUGGAGCUGGUCGAGGAGGCUGACGAGGCGGCUCUCACGGCAGCUUGUGCCCGCUUCGGAGGCCGGCUCGUUGGAGAGGUCGAUCUCGCCGACAAGGUGAGCGAGGCAGCUUGCCGUGCAGGCGAUCUCUGCGCCGUGCAGCAUGUCGGGGCUGACGACGUCAGGCGUGCUGGGCUGGCUUUGCUCGCCAAGAAGGAACAGGGUUCCCGUCUAGAGCAGAUCUCCGGGAGAUGGUGCACCUCGCCCCACAGUGGGCGCCAAAUGUCGGGGUUUGGGUGCCACAUAUGCCAAUGGAUGGCUUAUCAUGGUGGGAGCGAGUAGAACGUCGUCGGUGCCUGGAAGCGGGAUAAGGCGUAGACACGAACACUGCCGUACUUUACCCAGGUUCGGGGCUCUCCUAGGAGAUAACACCCCUAGUCCUGCUCUUCGGGGUCUCCGCAUGAUCACUAUGGCACAAGUACCUCUCUUCCUGCUCUAGGGGGGAGGGUAGUUAUAAUGGAGUGGGAACCCUUUGCAUGGGUGGCCUAGGGGGUUUAUAUAGGCCUACCCCCCAGGGGUACAAUGGUAAUCUAGCCGGCUGCUGGGCCCGGCUGUCAGUGUCUCCAGCCUCCGGCUUCUCCGCCGACCGCUGGGGCCCGUCGCCUGGUGGGCCCCGGUGACUGUGGUGGCUGCUUACUCUAGCCGUGUCGUUGGUGACGGGGGCUUGGUCAUCUUAGCGUGGCUACAGUCCCGCCACCUGGUGGGAGGCUACUGUAGCCACAUCUGGUCUUAUCAGCUUAAUGGCGUGCUCGCCUCGGGACAAGGGACGACCGCCUGCUGGAGGCCGGCCCCUCUCGAACCCGCCUAGUCGAGAUUCCGCCGUCUUCCUUGGGGUCACUACCCGAUAGGGCCCGCCUCUGGCAGGCCGUACCGACAGGCCGUCGAGGGGAACAGGGCUCCGCCUACCCGGAGCGACGUCAGGGUAGAUACGGCACAGUGUUCCGUUGUGCGGGAUCUCCGUCUGUACGGAGCACUGUAGUCACGCUCAUCUCGAGCGUGGGAGGCGUCAUGCUUCACUGUAGCCACGCUUUCACUUGUACUCUCGAUGGGGGCUCAGUCGCACCUUAGUCGUGAGGUGGCUGCCUGUCCAUUGCCGCCCUCUCCGUAGGGCGGCCGCCAGGAGCCGGCCACUCGGAGCACUAUAGUCUUGGCUCGGCCGCCCUCCGGCAACCGUCCGCUGAGCCAGACGGCCCCAGAGGGCGGAGCUUCAGCUUGGGGUCCAGCUAGGUGGAGCUGGCGGCCGCCAGGAGCCGGCCACUCGGAGCACUAUAGUCUUGGCUCGGCCGCCCUCCGGCAACCGUCCGCUGAGCCAGACGGCCCCAGAGGGCGGAGCUUCAGCUUGGGGUCCAGCUAGGUGGAGCUGGCCCAAAGUCUUGAUAAAUCCAAGGACCCGGGUGAGCCUACCCGUGGCCCAUUACUCCGACAGUGUACUUGUAGUUAUUUCUUCUCGUUUUCAUCUGUAGUUAUUCCGUUAUGCUUACCAUGCAUGCUUGUGUGCUAUCUUUGGCUAUGAUAGUUAGAAUGUUGAUAUUGAUAAUGCCAUGUCACUACUCUACUUUAUUUUCAUGUCAUCGUUAUAAAAUGCUAUGAUACACCGUGGAUAAGUUAGUACUUGGUAUUGUUAUGUUUUUUAUGCUGUAGUUGUUCACUUGAGAAGUUCAAUAUGUUAUUAAAGCAUUUGUAUGAUGUAUGCUCAUUGUUGCAUUCAUGUUAAAAUGCUUGUAUGAUAAUUGAUGAUGGAUAAGAUAAUAAUAUCACUUAAUAACAAAACCCCUCCGACAUCGAUGGGAUCGAGUCAUAGUGCCGCCAAAUCGAACUUUUCCAAUGCAACCACAUUUGCCGGUAUGGGACGGCCCUAAUUCGGUCUAUUGUCGUGCCUCUCGCCGGUGCCUCUAAUGAGGGAAGGUUAUGGGCGCGCGCUACCCUGAUCAGGUAGGCGGACAUAGGCCUUGUCUGCCAGUAGUUGGAUUUUGCGCACUUUUGUCCACGUGUGGGAUCAUUUAUGUUUUUGCCACGACGGUAGUUUGAGGUGUCUUGAGGUAGACACGGGGCCACCCAUGACUUAGCCCAGAGGGGAGCGAGUCGGAGUGGCGGGGAGAGUUUCAUGGCAGUAGAUCGGUUUUGUCGGAACGCCGUUGGUCCACCUGAAUGGGAUGACAAGGCCAUGGGUUCUGUAGUGUGGGUACAGUGCGCUACCUUUGAAUAGUGUAUUUAAACUACCGAUAGCCGCAUCCUCGGUCAUGGGCAUAUUUUCGUAGUAGGGUACACUAUCGGGUGUUGGUCGAAAUGGAGGAUAAACCUGAAAUAAUUAAGCCGAUUAAUGUGGUUGUGAUCGUCGUAAGGAUCAUGGGCCAGUUAUUGAUCAUGGUUGUGAUCGCCAUAAGGAUCACGGGCCAUAUAUUGGUCGGGUUGUGAUCGCCGUAAGUAUCACGAGUUUGUCUGUGUUGGUGGUCAGGAAAUGAGGUGAUCACGAGUGGUAAGAGAGUCCGAGAGGCUCAGUGCACAAGAUUGGUGGCAUUGCAUGAGUAAUAUGUUUGCAUUUAAUGGACCAUGGUAGAACAUGAGAUGGUUGCAUAUAGUUAACAUGCUAUGUCUGCAUAUGAUAUGAUUGGUAGUUUAUUUUCAGCAUAGUUUCAUGAUGCCAUGCCAUGCGUUGAUUGCUAUGAUUGAGAUGAUAUGCUAUGUUUUUCUGUUGCCACGUUAGAAGUAAAUUUGCUAUGCCAUGUCGUUGCCAUGCUAGUAGAUGUCAUGAUGUUAGUUUGAUUUAUGUCUUUGGUUGAUAUCAUGCCAUGUUUAAUAAUUGAUAUAAGAUAGGUUGUUGCAUUCGCUCGGUUCAUGCUUUGUCUUUGCUUGUUUGGAUGCUAUGUAUUUGGUUGUCUUACAAGUACAUUCAAUGUACUGACCAGGCAUGUCAUGCCAGUUUUGUAGGUCGUUCUUGCGGUGUUCUGGGAACGGGGGUCCCUAGACUUGCCUGCCUGCGGCCUGCAGCGUGGCUCAAGUGGUGGCCCAGUACGGCCCAUCUCCAUCAGCACAAGACUUAAGACCCUCGCGAGGGGAAAAGCCUCGCAGGGCGGACGACACAAGACUUCUUCAGGAACUGCCUCGCCAGGCAGGCUCACGAGGAGGUGGAGAGAUCAAUGCAGGGUACCUCAUGAGGUUCUCGUGAUGCAAGCCAUGACGAUCCGGACCAGGCGGGCACCGGCCUGUGCAGUGUCCUUGUUUCCUCUUUGGUGCAAAGGGGCCAAGCACAGGCGUGGAGUACCUAGGCAUCAGGCAAAGGUUGCCAUUUCAGUGCAACAAGACCAAGACGAGCAAAGCGGCAGGAUGGAGGUCACCGUGGAGCCCAGGACAACGUCAUCACCAGUGCCUUUGGCAGCCGAAGUCCAACUUUAGUCAGGAUAAGUUGUACUAGAUGUUCCCCUUCAAAAUGGCCGUUGUUGGCGCCCUUCCCGCUCAAUAUUUGGGAAGAGGCCCAGGGCAUCUAUAUAUAGGGAUAGCCACCACAUAAUAGGGGCAUCUCCUUCGGCAUCCAAGAGGCGAUCGAACUCACCCAAGCAGUUCAUCUCACCAGCUCAAGAACACCUCUCGCGAGGUUGUUCUUCCCUUGUACUGUUCAUCGUCAGCCCCUGAGGCAAUCCACCACACCACACACUGGAGUAGGGUAUUACACCACAACGGUGGCCCGAACCAAUAUAAAUCUCGUGUCCCUUGUGUUGUUCAUCGUUUUAGCUUAGAUUCUCACGAGGCGAUCGGACGGAGGUCGAUGGGGGAAAGAUCUUCGUGCGCAUCCCAGAGUUCGAAGCUUAAGGGUCUGCCGGAACCCAACAUCUGACAUUUGGCACGCCAGGUAGGGGUGCGCCGGAAUCUUCCUUCUUCUGUCCUACGUUCCGCCGCUUCACCGCCUCCAUGUCCGGUGACCCGACGGCCAACUCCCACCGCUAGGCAGCAUCGCCCGCCCAUGCCGUGCCGCUUGCCCAAGGUGACCUCAACCUCGCACCUCAGGUAGCCCGGGCCUCGCAGAAAGCGGCGGGGUGCGGGCACGCGGUCAGACGUCGCCUGUCCUCACUCCACGGCAAGUACGAUCAGCUGCGAGGGCCUCAAGCCACUCUGCGGCCACGACACCGCACACCCGAUGGGAGCAGGAAAACAUGAAGGCCGCGCUCAUGGUGGCGCAAGAGCUGCUGUGGUGCAGACUGCAAGAAAGCGGCCGCGACAUGCUGCUGGAGGGCGUCGCCGAGCUACUGGAUGCCGCCGCGUCAGGGGUUCCACCGUUCUGCGUCCAGCUUCCACCCCAGGCCCCGAGUGGAUCACGAGGCGGACCAAUCCGUGCCCAUGCACCCCCAGGCACGCCUCAAGGCUUCAUCAAUACCGGCCUGGCCCUCAGAGCUAGGCAACAAGCUACGCCGGCACCACCUCUGGGAAGCGAGGGCAUGCGCAUCGCUGCCUAUGGUCUUGGCGGGCCGCCACAAUACCGUCCCCAAGAUGGAGCUUCAACUCGAACUGCAUGGCGCGCGGAGCACUACGGCGAGGCCUUUGGGGUGGUGACCCAGGAGGCCUAUGUGCUCCGCAUGGUGGAUAAAGGGUACGCACUUGAGGAGAACCACGACUCGUUCCUCGGGCCAGGCUGGGAGGAAGAGGCACCAGAAGCCGAGCUCUUUCAGGAGCCCCACGGAAGCCUCGACAACCGUGCCGGCAGCAGCAACUACCAGGUACCACUAAUUCCUCAGGAGCAAGCUUAUGCUAACCAUGGGUCGGAGGAGGUUCAGGUCGCUGCAGCGGAUGUCUGCCCCAGUGUGGCAAUCUGCCUCCCCUCGGGAGGAGGGCACUGGGGGCAGCAGGAGAGGGGCCGGGAGCCGGGCUCCUCCCCACGGCACACGGAGCAAGGCGUUCUUCGGAGGUAGGCCCUCUACCGGGGAGGUGCCCUAGGGCCUGCCCCCAGCAGAGGACCCGUGGUCGUCGGGGGAACCGCUGGCGUCCCCUUUUCCCCAUUGGCGUCGUCCUGGUUUCCGGUCGCCGUCGAUGGGGUCAGGGGUGGCGCAAGGCGGGGCCCACAUCUGGGGAUAUGAAGCAAGGCUAGUAUGUGUGAAGAAGGCCCAGUGCCUGUGAAGCUCGCCGCCCGUGACAGUCUCACGUAUUAAUGAGUUGGGGUUGUACAUGCCCCGAAGUCUCCGGAGAGCCGCCCUCGGGCCUCGGGGGCUCCCUCCCACUGCGAGCCCACUCUAGGCUCGCCAAGACGAAGGUAAAACCACGACAACCUACUCAUCACAAAAAACAUGGCAUCAUGCAGGCGCCCAUCCAGCGACGAUCUCAAUAGCACAUAGGCAACAAUCUUUUUGAAUGAGGGGCUUCCCAUCCCAAAAUGCUCUCACGACCUUUAAGGGCCACGCUCGAGUCUCUUCCUGUGCAGGACAAACAGCAGGGGGGAGCAUGGGUUCAAUCGGACAUGUCACUCACUGCAUCCCCCAAGGCAUCCCCGAAGGCAUCGCUGGCACCGCCGUCGUCGCCACCAGCCUCUUCAUCGCCGUUGUUGACACCGUCUUCACAACCAUUCACCACGUCGCCUUCAUCAGCAGCAACGAUCACCCCGUCGUCAUCAGAGGUGAAGGCCCGGACGAGCGCAUCUACAUUAUCCUCCACCCGCCACGCUAGGUUGCCUCGGACGGCCUCGGGCACUGGGGCGAUGGCGGCAUCAAAGUAGAAGAGGGAAUCGAGGUUCUGGAGAUGGCUGAAGACGCGGGAGAAUGCCUGCGCAAGCAGGCCGCGCCUCCGUUCCUCCACCAGCUGGCGAGACCUCUCAGAGCGGUUCUCCAAAUGCGUCACCACGUCGGUGAAGAACUGGAGAUUGCCGGCAUAGUUGGUCACAUGCGGCUCGUUGGCGGCAGCCUCGCAGAUGUAGCCCAAGGCUGCGUUAGCCCUUUCCCUGAGCGUCUGGAGCAUGGGGCCGUGCAUGUCUUCCAACGUCUGCCGCUGACGGAUCUCGUCCACAUUCCGCUACGCGACGGCCUCGACAUCAUCAACCCACCAUUGAAGAAGGAGCAGUUCAGCACGGGAGAAGGACAGCUCAUCCUGCGUCGAGCUUAGAGCGACAACAGUGGCCUCAGCUCGCUGUGUGGCUUCAGUCAACCUGGUCCUGAGGGCAGCAGUCCUGCCCGUGGCUUCAGCCUUGAUCAACUCCAGCCGCUCUUCAUACUCGCGCUCAAGGCCGGCGCGAGCCUCUGCCACGCGACAGUCGAUCUCCUCCUAGAUCCGGGCCUCCCGUGCGCCGACAUCAUCCUCCGCCAGGGUGACCUGGCGCUCCCUCGUCUCCAACCGCUCCAGAUCGAGGUUGCGCUCGGCAGUCUCCAGUGUCAGCGCUUCCUCACGCCUCCAGAGCUCCUCCUCUUCCGCGGGCCCCCCUUUCAGCAGCGCAAGGGCGGCUUGGCGCAGCUCCACCUGCUGCUCCAGGGAGUUGCACCAGUCUUGGAGCUCCCAAGCGUGCUCCUCCGUAGCUUUGCGUCGCCUAUCCGCCUCCUGAGCCUCCUCAAAGGCCUGGGAGCAGGCCUCCCGAGAGGCCGCCAGGGAUGCCUCGGCCUUGCCAUUUUCGAGGUCACGCUGGUGGCGCACGAGACCAACGGCCGCCUUCAGCUUACGCCGCUCCUCGACCAACCUCAAGCUUUCAGCUUCGAGACGUGCGUCUUCGCCCGCCAGCUCUGCGCCUAGCCGGUUCACUGCAUCGGACGCCCUCUGGAUGAACUCCUGGAGGACAGCACUGCGCUCCCGCGCACGCCCGAGCAUGUCAUCAACAUAAUCUUCCGCCAUCAAUGCUGGCGGAGGGCCCCGGAGUGGUUCGCCCCCUCUCGGCAGUGGGCUGGGGGCUGGCGCCCCAGCAAUCGCCAGGCGGGCCCCGCGAGGGACCCAGCCAGGCGUCAAUCCACUUCCCGCUGAGGACCCAAAGACCAACUUCAGCCACUCGCCGCCUAUGAUCAGUGGAGGAGCUCGGGGCAAUCUGGUUGUGCCAAAGGAAAACUCACGAGGGAAGAGCGGCGUGCCGACAUGUUCAAGGAGCGCCGUGAGCUGGCCUGCAUCUCCAGUCGAGUUUGCACCAAGGGCGGCAUGCAGACUCGGGGCAGCCAAGGUCGGCGAUGAAGGAGGAGCCUGGGGAAGCGGCUCCUCAGCUGGCUCCGCGGGCUCGUCAGAGGGGGUCCUGAAAGGCCACGGUCAGCAAAGGGAGAGGAAAACAAGGAACUAUAAGAAGGAGGGACUUACUCGUCCAUGGCGAAGUACUUCCUGUGCUUCAGUGGGCGGUACGGGCGAUCAUCACCAUCGGAAGCCUCCUUCCUCUUGCGAAGGGCCUCGAAAUCUAUGCGGAAGCGGCCAAAGCUCGCGACAUGAGGUCCGGCGCGCGGCAUAGGAGCCGAAGCAUCAGGACAGCCCACAUCAAGGGAACCAGCCUGAGAGGAGCGAUCAGGUGCCACCUCUUGGUGGCCUGCCGAGGCCUUGGGGACAUUGAUCUCGGGAGCGGCAGGUCGCGCCCCAUUGUCAGCCACCACCUCGCGAGGGGCUCCGUCAGCUCCGGAGGAUGACGCUUCGGGAGCCCCAUGCGACAUUAGCACCUUGACAUCAGCCCCCCAGCUCUUGCCAAUACUUGCCUCCCUGCAAUGACUCCUGGCAAGGUCGGCGCGGGCGGCUAGGGGAAGGACCACAGCAACCGGGUUCUCGCGGGGCCCCAUGAGGCCAGCCGGGCGCAGCCCCCAUUCGUCAAAGCGGGUCAUCUGCCUCACGAAGUCGACCCUGUUUGUGCAAAGAUACAACAGGGCAUCUCCAUGAUGAACGCUGCCAGGAGAGGGGUUGCCGAUCAGGACCUGCAACACUUUCUUCAGCGUCUCAGGCGUGAGAUCCCCUUCCUGGAGCCUCAUACGGUCCUGACGACCAGAGUAAGCCCACAUUGAGCAGGAAUUGCGCUGGAGAGGAGCGAUGCGAUGCUGGAGGAACUCCUUCACCAACCGGGGCGCCGUCACCCCGAGCUCCCUCAGCCUCUCGACGCGAUGCCAGGUGAAAGCAAGUUGGGGGAUCGUAAGCUCCUCGUGACCCCAACCAGGAUUGGGAAUAGCAGGCAGCAUUGGGUGCGCGAGCAGGGGGCUCGGCACCCCAACGUCCACAUACAGCCAUCGUUCCUGGAACCCGCUUCCAGAAGGUGGGAGGCAAAAAUCGAUCCCCGAGGCGGCCGUCUCCGGCACGGCCUGGAAGCUCACUCAUCUCGAACACCGGGAAGGGUCAGACAAGCGUAGAGAGAAGAAGUGGCGCAGGAGGGCAACAGAAGUAGGAAUCCACACCAUGGCCUUGUAGACGAAGGCGAAGAUAGCAAGCAGAGUAAUGGAUUGGGGGCCAAGAUGCAUGAUGUGGAUCUGGUAAUGGGAAAGCAUAGCAUUUAAGAAGGCGGAAAAGGGGGGAACCAGGCCCGCCCACAAGGCGUCGACAAAGAAUCGGACAUCCGUGACGAUACUAUCGAAGGAGGCAUGGGACGCGGGCCAGACAGUCAUCUUCCCGCACUCAUUGAAGCUGGAGGCAAGCAUAGAGCAGACCUUCUCCAGGGCUUCCAGAUUGAGUCUGAACGACUUGUCGACGGCGGGAGCGGCUGCCGGAGGCGCGCUCGUCGAAGGCGCAGGCUUCUUCCGCUUAUCCUUUUUCUUGGCACCAUGGCAAUGGAAGGGGGGAAGAAAUCAAGAUGGAUUGGAAGCGGAAGCAGGGACUCGAGGAGGAACAUGGAACGAGAAGCGCGCAGGGAGCAAAGGGAGGAUAACUGUGUACAAGCCUCGUGGCCGCCUAGCCGGGCACAUAAUGAGGGAGCAUGGGGAAGCGGAGGUGCCCACGUCCAAUCAACCGUCACGCGGCGCCCAAGGCCGCAGGCUGAUGGGGCCCGCGGCGCUCCGCACUUGCCCCUUCGCUUCUCCGCUAAGCCAAGUCCGAGCGCGCCUUGGGCUCGGGGGCUACUAUUGGCAUUCUGGGAAUGGAGGUCCCCAGACUUGCCUGCCUGUGGCCUGCAGCAUGGCUCAAGUGGUGGCCCAGUAUGGCCCAUCUCCAUCAGCACAAGACUGAAGACCCUCGCGAGGGGCCAAGCCUCGCGGGGCGGACGACAUAAGACUUCUUCAGGAACAGCCUCGCCACGCAGACUCGCGAGGAGGAGAGAUCAAGGUAGGGUACCUCACGAGGUGCUCAUGACGCAAGCCAUGACGAUCGGGACCAGGCGGGCGCCGGCCUGCGCAGUGUCCUUGUUUCCUCUUUGGUGCAAAGGGGGCAAGCACAUGAGUGGAGUACCGAGGCAUCAGGCAAAGGUUGCCAUUUCAGUGCAACAAGACCAAGACCAGCGGAGCGGCAGGAUGGAGGUCACCGUGGAGACCAGGACGGCGUCAUCACCAGUGCCUUUGGCAGCCGAAGACCAACUUUAGUAAGGAUAACUUAUACUAGAUGUUCACCUUCGAAAUAGCCGUUUUUGGCGCCCUUCCCGCUCAAUAUUUGGGAAGAGGCCCAGGGCCUCUAUAUAUAGGGAUAGCCACCACAGAAUAGGGGCAUCUGGUUCGGCAUCCAAAAGGCGAUUGAACUCACCCAAGCAGUUCAUCGCACCAGCUCAAGAACACCUCUCGCGAGGCUGUUCUUCCCUUGUACUGGUCAUCAUCAGCCCGUGAGGCAAUCCACCACACCACACACUGGAGUAGGGUAUUAUACCACAAUGGUGGCCCGAACCAGUAUAAAUCUCGUGUCCCUUGUGUUUUUCAUCGUUUAACUUAGAUUCUCAUGAGGCGAUCGGAUGUAGGUCGGUAGGGGAAAGAUCUUCGUGCGCACCCCAGAGUUCGAACCUUAAUGGUCUGCCAGAAUCCAACAUCCGACAGUUCUCUUGUUCCAUCAUGCUAGGCCGUAAUCUUGCCAGUCCUUUGAGUUGUGGAGCCCAGCCAGAGUGAUAUGCUGCCAAGACUUCCGCCGCCAUUUAAAUAGACUUCCGCUGCCAUGUAAAUAGCCUUAGGGCUAUGCCAGAAGAUUAUAUUCAUCACUGAUGUAAUCAUAUACACAUGUAUUUGAUGAAUAUUCUUGUACCUGGAAUGAUGUAUCAUGCACCUGUCGUGCGUCAGGUGUUAUCCUGGGCUGACGUGCGAAGGCCCCCUGCUCCAUGCGGAUC
This 44896-nucleotide long non-coding RNA is filed under the name Triticum aestivum (bread wheat). RNAcentral describes it as "long non-coding RNA (TAES_LNC027244)". Lineage: Eukaryota; Viridiplantae; Streptophyta; Magnoliopsida; Poales; Poaceae. The record is from RNAcentral.